UUUUGUAGCAUAUUCUAUUCAAGAAUUUAGGGUCUAAUAAUCCUGUAACAAGCUAAACUACUCUCUAAUGCGGCAGGAUGGAAUCGAUGCCAUCGAAGAUGUCAUCUACCACAUCGAAACAUAUGACGUCACCACAAUCAGGGCAAGCACUCCUAUGUUCUUGAUGUCAAGAAAGAUCAAGUCACUAGGUGUGAAGAUGGUUAUCUCUGGUGAAGGCUCUGAUGAGAUCUUUGGUGGAUACCUGUACUUCCACAAGGCACCAGAUAAGGAUGAAUUCCACCGGGAGACAUGCCGCAAGGUAAUAGAUCAUCUUAUUCAACACUUCACUUAUGAGUAGGGGAGUUGGAACAUAAGGAUAUAACGAAAACUGGUCUGUUUUGAUACCUUUUUGUGCAGAUCAAGGCCCUUCACCAAUAUGAUUGCCUGAGAGCUAACAAAGCAACAUCAGCAUGGGGAUUAGAGGCACGAGUCCCCUUCUUAGACAAAGAAUUUAUCAAUGUUGCCAUGUCUAUAGACCCUGAAGCGAAGAUGGUAUGUAAACAAGCAUCUUUUUUCUUAUUGUUCCUGGAAUUGCUUGGGUUUAUUCAUUCAUGGUUGAGAUUUACAGACUCAUGACAGAUAGUUCUUUGUUUAUGAAUCAGAUCAAAAAAGAUGAAGGACGCAUCGAGAAGUGGGUUCUAAGAAGGGCCUUCGAUGAUGAAGAGCAUCCCUAUCUGCCAAAGGUCGUCAAACAUCAUUUCUUGUCUUUCAUAUUUGUCAACUAUGAAGCUAAACUAACAUGUCCUAUAUGAUGCCCUGCAGCAUAUCCUCUACAGACAAAAAGAACAGUUCAGUGAUGGUGUUGGUUAUAGUUGGAUCGAUGGUCUCAAGGCCCAUGCUGCCCGACAUGUAAAAUAUCUUUCUUCAGUGGGUUCUGUUAUAUGCAUUUGCUUAGUUUAUUGUUCAUAAUUUAACAAUUAAAAUCUUUCAGGUGACCGAUAAGAUGAUGUUCAAUGCUUCUUUCAUAUUUCCUCACAACACACCAACUACAAAAGAAGCAUAUUACUACAGGAUGAUUUUUGAGAGGUUUUUCCCUCAGGUGAUUUUCUGAAUCUCACAGUUCGAAUACGUUUACGCUUCUAACUUUUUGUCAACACAUUAAUUGCUAAAGUGAUCAUCUUCCUUGGCUUGGUUUAACAGAACUCGGCAAGAUUGACUGUCCCUGGAGGAGCUAGUGUGGCAUGCAGCACAGCUAAAGCUGUUGAGUGGGACGCUGCCUGGAAAAACAACCUUGACCCUUCAGGCCGGGCUGCCUUGGGGGUUCAUCUCUCAGCUUAUGACGCAGAGACUCCCCUCAGCAACAAGCCAUCCAAGGUUAUUGAUAGUAUACCACGGAUGGACUUUCCUGGAGUUGCCAUACAGAGUUAAUGCCUGCCUACUGGAAGACAACAGAAUGUAUGAAUUAUUUAAUAAAAUGAGUAGGAGCUGUGGCAUGUCCAAAUGUAUGAAGUAUUUAAUAAAAUGAGUAGGAGAUGUGGCAUGUCCAUCAAACUUCCGAAUACAUUGUUGUAUAAUAUAGGUGAUAUUUACGAGUACUAAGAGAUUCUGUGAUCGUUGCAUCAUCUUUUGUUAUCAUCAACCUAUUGGUUCUUUGUGUUAAGUGUGUAAUCAAUAUUUUGUAGUGGAAGUUAAUCAUGAAUGAGAAUCUUCCCUUUUGUUGGUGUAAUUGCAAAAAUGCUUCAGUUCUUCCGCUUUACAAAAAUCUUGCCCUCUAACGACUGUAAUGUUAGAUAACUUGGAACUAAGCAAUAAUUUGAGAAGAAACAUGUUGUCCCUACUAGAUGAAUCGGGCAUUGAAUCGGUCUAAUUCUUGAAGAUAAUAUCAUAUUUGACUUGAAAGAACCAUAUGAUUAUAUCAUUUAUUAAGACACAAUAUUAGUAAAGUGCAGUUUUGCACCCUCUGCAAACCUAUCAAAAUUAGUAACUAAUUAUAGAAUGAAGUAAAAGCACAUACAACUUAAUAGAACAAGACAGUAUAAAAGAGUUGAUUCCAAGUAUCAGGCAAUCCAGGGAGGCACCAAUGGCUACAAUCAGCUGUGCGGUCUGGGUUAGCCCUCUGAGUAGGGCUUAAGUCACCACUGUAGAUUGAAGGGUGCCCAUCUUUCCUAAGCUCAGACAGCAUUGUUAUGUCCAACAAAUAUGUAGGGACGUGCAUUUCUCUAAUGACUUCGUCCACCACUCUCAUCUGGUCAGGGUAUGUGCCAGGAUACGUAGUUCCGGUCAUCGGUGCUGUUUCUCCGUAACAGUUUUUCGUUACGGUCGCAGUUGCUCCGGUACCCCAUUCACUCGGACUGUCAAAGGCAUUUCAUCAAGCUCAUUGUCAUAGAACUUUUAUAUCCAUGUUCGGAUAUAUAACAAAUUUAAAAUACUAAAAAAAAUCGAAAACUAUGGACACUCAUGCAUCAUGUGCUCGGAGGCAGUGGUCAAACAAAAAAUUGUAGUCAGGCAAUGUAUGGCCCUUCUGCAGACCUUUUUUAGUUACUUUAUAGUGAAAUUUGUAAGGAUAAAGAAAAGGUCAUUUCCCACCGACAACUAAAGGGGUUAAAAAAAGAUACUUUGGCUGCUCACUAUUUCACGAGGUUACACGGUUGUAAAGAAAAAACAGUAAAAAUCAACUAAGCACUUUUAAUUAAUAAAAAGUAAUUUGACUAUCUCAUGAAACAUGGGAAGACGAAGGUAGAACGUAUCGAGGGCAAACCUAAAAAACAUCAACCAUCUAUCAUGCGGGAAAAAUAAAUAAAAAAAAUUCUCCCAUUGAUGCCUGGUCGAGUGAAGAACAUGUCAUCAACUCAUUCUUGUGGUUUUUGUCGGUUUGGUUUUUAAUAUUAGCAAACAUGAAAGAAAUCCGUCAAGACUCUUUAACAGAGUCUUUCUUGCAAGAGAUAAUACCAGAAGCAUUGAGAAUUCAACAAAGAUACAGAGAAAGUGAUAAGAAAGUUUUUCAGACACGAUCUAGUUUAGUAACUCCAAGUUGUAUGGUCACAUUUAUUAUAUAAUUAUAGCAAUUUCAACAAGUUGCCAUUGGCUUAACCCAUCCUACCCUACCCUACCCUAUUUUAUUUUUUUGUUUCUCUACAGUCUCUGUCUUCAAUAUUAAAUAUUGAGUUGGGAUAAUCUUAGCAGACAAAAACUAAAUUCAUCUAAGCUCACAUUGGAUCGAAUUUCUAGUUCUUGGAGUCCAAUUAUUAGUUUUUCACUCCAACACAACAAUAAUUAUCAAUCAAAGAAUUGAGUCCACUCCAUAUUCUAAUUAAUUUCCAUGCAAUUAUUUAAGAGAGAAGGAGAGUGUUACUCGUAAUGCGUGGGGGAAAUAGACUGGAAAAAGACUCUGGUUCUAGUUCUGUCGACAUAGGUGUCCACCCAAUUUGACCAUGUUCUCAACCCUUUCUCCAUUGCAACCAAACGAUCCAUGUCCUUGUAAUAUUUUCCCCCUGACUCAAUUAAAUCCCACCUGUCCAGUUUCACCUCAAGCUAUUCAAUUAACCAAAGCACAUAGCCCAGUAACAGAGAAAAAUGGUUGUAGUUUUUUGUCUUUUUGGCCUACCCUUGGAGAGAUCCUUUAUGAGUCCACCAAUGGCCUGUGUUAAAUACCAGCACGUCUGCCAUUCUCCAGGCGUUCCCAUUUUCAUCUAUUCCCUCUAACUUGAGAAUUCUAGUCCCUUGUACCACGUCUAUGUCCACCAAAUAUGGAGCCCUGUAAAAUGAUAUGGAUAAACCAUAUUCCUGCAUUUUAUCAUUAAACAAUGAUUCAAUUAUUAAAGGUAUACUUAAAAUUCGAAAGAUUGUCAUUUGCCAACACAAAUCGAACCAAUUGGACCCUGGUAACUUUUUUGGCAACAUAAUGCUCACUUUGGGUCCUUCAGGCUCAAAAAAGGAUUUCAUCUCUUCACCAUACCCCUAAACAUUCAUUUUUUUGGGGUUAAAAUAUGGAACAGAGUGCUUGAAAUGGCUUUGACCAUGAAUUGUGAGAACAAAUGAUUGUAUUUUAAAGAGUUAAGGAAUAAAGAGCAAAAGCGGUUUUUUCAUAAGACUCACAAGGAACCUGAAGGUGGAGAGAGGGUCUCCUCUGAUCAUCUGAGUCUGCAUUUUGGGUGUUGAAGCUGAAAUCAUACAAAUCAGAGACUCCCAUUGAUUCCUUCCCAGAGAAUCACCAACAAACAUCACGUUUUUCCCUCUCAUUUUCGAUAGAUACACAAGUCCAUCGAACCUGACAAAUAUCAUCCCUCAAUGUAAAAGUAAAACAAAUUACAAUGCACUUUACAUAAAAAACAAAAGUACUCCAAAAUUACCUUGGAAGCACACAAUUGAGAGGCUGCCAUCGAUAUUUGAGGUAAUCAGAAUCAGGUCUUCCAUACAGUUGGCAGUUGAAUUCUGCAUCUAUGAUUGGACAGUUGGAAUAUUGGUACAAUGGGUAACUAUCAUCGCGAACCCAAGUGCCUACAAACAAUGCACAAGUGCUUUGGUUCGUUUGGAACAUUGGCCUUCGAUGUUGAGGGUGGCCAGGAUGGUUCUUCAAGCUCAUUAUCAAAGCAGAGAAACCAGUUUGAAACUGAAACAACAAGGCUACAAAAAGAAAGGGUAGACAUGACUUAAAGACAUGACAAGAAGGAGAUUGAUCGGAAGAAAGAAGGGUCAUUUUGCAGAGAAAUGAUAGUGAAGUUAAAAAGCUAGACGAAGAAAAGAGAGGGGCAAAAUUAAAAAAAAAAACAAUAGCAUAUAAAAAGAAAGUGGGGUUUAUCAGUUCCUGGUGAAGGUUCUUAUAAGAGAUGAUGAGAGGGAAGCUUGGUUUUGGUGUGUUGUGAAGGUAAGCUGAAAAGGGUUUCACUUCACGUGAGCUUAAAUGGUAGUGGUGGACGUCAAUUUAGACCCUUUUGAACCAAGUCUUAUUGGGGGAACAGGGACUCUUACUUGUCUGCAAGUGUAUCUCCUUCCAUUUUCAUUAGCAAAUUCACAGAAAAGGAAAUGGUGCUACUGCAACUGCAUGAAGGAAAGUCAGAAAAGGGGAAUAAUGUCGGGGAAUGGGCCCAAAACUGGCAAUGACCAAAUCAUGCAUCUAAAUUCAACGAGAAACCAAACAAAUACUCUCGAAUAUGGGCUUUGGUUGGCGCCACAAUCUUGGAUUCUGUUGCUUGUUUAUAGAAUAGAAAGAGAGAAUACUUGCUACCAAAACCAUGAACAGAAGCAAAGUUUUUUUUUUCUUUUCUACUUUAUAUCAAAGAAGGGGCAAAUCCUUUGAAAAAGCUAAAUGUUCUUUGCUUUCCUUCAUCCCCAUGCAUAGAACAUCAUUCAUUAAUUCAAACCCUUUUUUUUCUUCUUUUGUCAUAAUUUAAAAUAAAGAUAUAGUAAUCUAUUUUCCUUCCAACUUUACAAAAAAAUUAUUUUAAUUUUUUAUUUAAUUUUCUCCUCCUUUUAGUCUUUAAUUUGUACGAAUUGUCAAAUAACCUUAACAUGGAUAAAAAAUUUAAUAUUUAGGAACUGUUUUGAUGUGACAUACAAGUGGAAUAACACAUGAAUUUCAUGUCAGACAAUUAAUUAAAUUUUUUGAAAAUUUAAAAAAUUAAAAAAUAUAUAAAUUUAAUUUUUAAAAAAAUUAAAAAGUAUAAAAUUAUAAAAAUAUUGAACCACCGCCGUCUCCUCAAUUUCAAACCUUUCUUCCAUCUUAAUUCCUAUAUAAAUAAUAUAGGAAUAUGUAAAAAUAUGCCAUGACUUGGAUCUUAACUGAAGAUUAAUUUGGUUUAUUUUUUUAAUUAAAUAUUUAAAAUUUAAAGGUUAUACUAUUUGUAUAUUUAGAAUUAGAGGUGUUCAUGGGCCGGUUUAUCCGGCCCGGCUCGAAGAUUCGCCUGAAAUGUGAGAGGGUUUGGGUAAAAAUAUAGGCCCAAAAAAUGAGUUUGGACAAAAAAAUAAGACCCGUUUAAAAAAUGGGUCGGGCCUCGGGUAAGGUAUUUUUAGCCUGGGUCCUGUCCGGCCAUGGCUCGGCCCGGUCCGGUCUUAAUUCACUAAAGGACAAAAAAAUAUACAUUUUUUUUAUUUUUGAAUGUUAUUUUCUUGUUGUUUUCUCUCUAUUUUGCUACUAUUUUACUAUUAUGUUGCUACUAUUUUGUUAUUAUUAUUUGGAUAUUGUAUAAAACUUAUUUUAUUGUUAAUUUUGUUAUUAUUUUAAAGGCAUUUGUUAAUUUUUUUAAUUAUUUUAGAGGCAUUUGCUUAUUAAGUUGCAUCUAUCUUAGUGUUAUUUAAGUCUAUAUAUUUUUUAAAUUUUAUUUUUAAUUUGUUGGAAAAUAUUUAUUUUGAUGUUUUUAGUAUUUUUGAUGUAUUAUAUAUAUUUAAAAAUAAUAUAAAAAAUUAAUACGGGCAGGCCGGCCCGGGUUUUAGUAUUUUUAUUUGGGUCGGGCUUGGGCAUGAUUUCUUAGUUGAGGCCGACCCGGCCUAUGAACACCUCUAUUUAGAAUUUAGUCUUCAUGUUUUUAUCUUUAAGAAUUUAGCCUCUCUAUUUUUUUGAAUUUAAAAAUCUAGAUCCAAAUUAGUAUCAUUAAAAUUCUUCUGUUUAAUUUGUUAGUAUGACAUUCUAUUUUUUUUUUUAAAAAAAGAAGCACUCACUCGAUAAUUAUGUUGUAGAAAAUGACAUUGUAAUGUAUUUUAAUUUAACAAAAAAUUUAACAAUGUUAACAAUUCUUUAAAUUUACAUAUGCACUUUAAUUAGAAUAAAAUAUUGGGUAACUUUCACCAACAGUCACUCAACUUUGAGGUAGCUGACAAAACAAUCACCUCGGUUUCAUUUCAGUCACUCAACUUUAGAAAAAUGACAAAACAGUCACUAACGUUAUUAAAAAAUGACAAAUCAGUCACUUAUUAUCAUUUUCUGUUAUUGGCUUAAAGGGACCACUGAUAUGGGAAGUUAACUAGCUGACGUGGCCAGUUAGCUUGCCACGUUGGACAAGUAGUCAAAGGGUAAAAAAAAAAUUAUUGGUUAAAGGUAAAAAGAAGGAUAAAAGGAAUGGAGGGAAAAAAGAAGAGAAGAAGGGAAAAUGGAAGUUGUUCAAUCUCUUACUCAAUCUCUGAAAGCUAAAUGGAGGGCUAGAGUGGUGGAAACAGGAAGGGAAAAAAACCUUAUCUUUCCCAUUUUGCAAAUCAAUGGCAAAAAACCCUAAAAUCAACCCUCCCAAUUAAGCUACCUCCUCCAAAAAGAAAAGGUUCCAACAUUAAAAAAAAAAACACAGAACUAGAUCCUGCAAACAAGAAAUGUAAAACGGGAGCACACAGAUUAUAACAAAAAACCCAGGCCAAACAAAAGCACGAAAAUCCAAACUCUUAACAAUGCACAAACACAAAAACCAGUCACAUUCAAGAUUAAAAUAAAGCCUUUUUUUUUGGUGUUAUACUUUUUCGUAUUUUAAUUCGAAACCCAAAACAAAGAGAAAAAAAUCUCUAUUUUAUUGAAAUUUUUACAAAAAAUAGGUGAGGAGAAGAGACUUCCAUGACUUAGUGUUUCAUUAGGUUUUAAAUCUCUCGCACCGAGAAGACUAAGACUUCUCCAACCGGUUAAAACUUUUAUUAACAUUUUUUGGGAUUUUUUUUCACAAAGGGAAAGAGAGUUUUACUUGGUUUGAAUUUGCUGUGAAUGAAAGUUUUAGUUAUGGUGUGAGAAAACAUAGGAGAGGACUGGGAAAGUAAAGGGAUCUGGAAAAUUUUUUAUAAAGAUUAGCAAAUGAGAGAGGAGGUGGAGAGUGUUUACAAAAUUUUAAUGUUGGAAAUAAAUUUAAAGAGAUUGAGAGAAAAAAAUAAAAGGUUUACAUUGGUAUUGAUAGGGUUGUUUAUCCUCUUCUUCUUCUACUACAUAAACUAGCCAGUUGGAUGGUUAAUGACACCAAGCAAGUUGUCAUCUGUCAUGUCACUUUACCGUUACGUUUGUAGCGAAAAAUGACAAAAAUGACUGUUUUGUCAUUUUUCUAAAGUUGAGUGACUGAAGUGAAAUCAAUGUGACUGUUUUGUCAAUUACUCUAAAGUUGAAUGAUUGUUGGUGUAAUUUACCCUAAAAUAUUUAGACUAACUAAUAACAUUAUAAAUAAUGAAGUAUUAAAUUAUGUCAAAAAAUAAAGUAGAAAGAUUAAAUCUCAAAUUUGGAUAAAAUAUAUAAGCUGAAAUUAAAAAAAUAGAGAGAAUAGAAUUAAGAUUUAACCAUUAAAAUUAAAAAUGUAAAAAUAAAAGAGUAGCAAGGACAAGUGUCAAAGAACGAAGGCGUUAGCGCCUUCUUUUAGUAUAUAUUAGUUAAUUGAUUUCAAUUAAUUAAUUAUAAUUUAUUUAUUUAUAUUAUACCAUGAAAUUACAAUCAAAUUCAGAAAAAAAAAUUGACAAUAUUAAGUUAGAGACUUUUGAAGUGGAGUGGGGUGUGAUAGGACGGGAUGAAAGUUGUAGUUGUUUUUAAGAAGAUACACCCAUAAUGGAACAGGACGGAUGAUAAAGCAAAACGUAUUAUUUAUAGAGAGGUAGGGAAUUGUGCAAUUCGUCCCGGCCUCGCUUCAUUGUCAUCCCUAACUAUAAUAAGAUUAAAAGGAUUUAACAAAUAUUAUUUAACUAGUCUUGAUGGCGAAAUCUUUUGUAUCGUUGAUUUUCAUUUUGACCAAUCAAAUCAGUUGGCUCUUUGGAGGAAAAAUUAAUUGGUAUGGUUUAAUUAAAUAAAAUUAAAAAUUCAAAAAAAAAUCUGAUUCAAAGAGUCUAUAUGUCAACAAUUCAACUUUUUUUUCAGAUUAUUAGAUUAGUAUAUCUGUUGAUGUCUAAUUUAACUAAUUCGAUCAAUCAAUCAAAUCUGAUUCUAAUAAUAUAAGGAUUGGCAAAUAAUUAAAAAAAUUAAAGGUAUAUAAAAAUAUAAAAGAAAAAAAGUAUUUUAUCACUCAUCUUUUUAAAUUUUAUAUACCCAGAUUAAGAAAAUAAUAUAUACCACUCAAGGAAAAUAAUAUAUAUGACGAUGGUGAUAUUUAGGAGCAAAUUCAAAAAAAAUUUUAACAAUGACGAAAUUUAAUUAUAAUUUUUUUAUAAAAUAAAAUAUAAGUUUUUUAUAUAUUAAUUUAUAAUUUUAUUAUUUUUGAAGGAAUUAAAUAUAUUUUAUUUUUAAUUUUAAGAGAUUAAAUUAUAAUUUUACUAUAUAUUAAUCUAUAAUAUAUUAAUUUAUAAAUUUUUUUUAUUUAUAAGAAGAUUGAAUUAAAAAUUUUUCAUCACUAUAUAUUAAUUUAUAAAUUCUUUUAUUUAUAAAAAGACUAAAUUGAUUUUUUGGGAGAGCUAUGGCCCUGACUUCUCAGAUUUGUCUCUGUUGAUAUUAAAAAAAUCUUAUUAUGUGUGAUUUUAUCUAUAGUUACUUUGGAUUUAUAUUUUGUAAUAAUGUUUAUAAUUAUAAGGAUGAAUUAUCGAAUUAACCACUCAACUUUCAGUACGCUUUUAUUUUAGUAACUUAAAAUUAAAAUCUUUACAAUUUAAUCACUGCCAUUAAAGAUGCUUUCAUUUUAGUCUUUAAAUCCUCUAACAUCAGUCCACUGUUCAUCUUCUUCUUCCUUAACCUUUUUUUUUUUUCUCCACGCCACCCUCUCACACCUCUUAUCAAAAAUUAAAUCUUUGAUUUAAUGACAAAUUUAGCCACUAAUGUUUGCAUGUUUUGUCAAAAUGGUCUUAAUUGUAUUUUUGAGCUUUUUUUUGGCAAUUAACUUUUAUUCUUUUCUUCAAAUUGCCUUUUGUAACAGAUUUAAUGAAAGUGCCGUUAAAAAAGUUAACGGGGAUGGUGUAGAAUUUCAUAUAUAGAAUAAUUUUUAAUGAGAUACAAUUUAUUACUUAAAUAACCCUAUAAGAUAAUUAAAUGUGAAAAAUAAUAAAAUAAAUAAUACAUGGAAUUAAAAAAACUCUUAAUUUAAAGAAAAUAAAUAUAAUUAUAUAAAAAAAUUAACUCACUAGAAAAACCUCUUGUAUGAAAGAUAGAAAUUUUUUGAAAAUAAAAAAGAUAUUAAAACCUUGAAUUUAUUUAUUAAUUUUGUUAGAAAAAUCAGUUUGAAAAAAAAAAUUGAUGGCCAAAAAAUGUUCAAAAAUAUAAAUAGGACCAUUUUGACAAAACAUGCAAACGAUAGUAGUCAAAUUUAUUAUUAAGCCUAAAUCUUUAGAUGAAACAAUUUCGUUAACUCAUUGCUACCUAAAAAAGCAAACUCAAACUUCCUUAACCUAAAAAAUUUUCUCAUUCUCUGCCUCCUACCUGUUUGACAUUGUCAAAGUCAAUCUUCUAAAAGAACUACUCAAAUUUUGUUUGAAGCAUCACCUAUCACUUGUGUCUUAUACCUUGACACCAUUUGUAAACCAAAAGAUGGUGGCUCAGAACCUAAGAGCUUAAUCCAAUUAGGAAAUAGAUGGCACUUGUCUCCCUCAUAAGGUAAGCAUUAGUAUUAAUCUUUUCGAGGGUUCAAUUUCAUACACUGGAAUCAAAUAGUUUAUACAAAUCCAUAAGCUCUUUCCCAAAACCAUUUAAGUUCUAAAUAUAAAGAAGUCCAAAAGCAAAAUAAAAAUUUAUAUGGUCACCAACUUCUUUCAAGACACUUUAGGUAAGCAGAUGGCGCUUGAUCCUUGACAAGGCCUCAUGAGGGUUAUCAUAAGUUGGUUACACUGUAAGACUCCUUCAACCUCUCCGAUGUGAGAAUAAGUAGCUUCCUGUCAUCUUGUAAGACAAAAAAGGAAAUGGAACAGGAGAAAAUUUUCUUGAUUCCAACCAAUGCUCAGUUGUGGUAUAAAUGGCAACCGCGGUUCUUCUGGAGUAACAUAUAGCCCAUCUUUCAAAUAGUUGUGUUGUCGUUCCUACUCAGCUUUUAGCUACAGGCGUGUCAAUCUGCCUAGGUUACUCUGAGCAAGGCGUGGGAAGAAAAUGAACAGUUGUGAGGGUAAAAAAUAUAGUCAAAAUGAUGACAUAGCAUGCACAGUUUUGAGUGAUUACAAUGAAAACAAUCUUUAAUGGCAGUGAUUAAAUUACAAUUUUUUUUAUUUAAGUCCUAAAAGUUGGAUAACCAACUAAAGAAUUUACCUUUUAUUGGUUGGUAGACAGGCAUCUCAUACGUUUGGUUGCUAAAAGUUGGAUAACCAACUAAAGAAUUUACGUUUUGGUUGCCUACGUUUGGUUGCUAGGGAUGUUCAAACGGUUAACUAAAUUAAAUUAAUAUUAAUCGAAUUACUCAAACUUUUUAAUCUUAUAACCGUUAACCGAAUCGAAAUAUUUUCAAAAAAUUUAACCAAACCAAAAUAUUUUCAUUAAUUUGGUCGGUUAACAGAAUUAACCGAAAUUUAUAUUUUUUAUUAAAAUAAGUAUAAAACAUAUAAAAAUUAAUAAAUUGAUAGUGUUCAUUUGACCGAAUUAACCAAAUUAAAACUACAUUAUUAAUUAUUAAGUUCAGUUAAUUAGGUUAAUUACUCGAUUUCAAACCUAAUUAAUCGAUAAUCGAACUUCCAAAAAAAUUAUUAACCUAUCUCUGACCAAAUUAAAUCGAUUUGAUCAAUUAAUUCCAUUUUAUCGAAAUUUAAACACCACUAAUGAUCGCACGCAAAGCAGAUAAAAUUUGCGAUCAGUUAAUCACAAUUGAAACCGAUAAUAACCAAAACAAACAAAUAAAUUAUUUAAACUUCAACAAAUAUUUUAAAAUCUUACUUUUAUCAUUGUACCCCUCCCCCCGCGUUAUUAAUUUUUUCACUCAAUUUUAAAAAUUAUCAUUUUAGACGUUAAUAUAUAAAUUUGUUCCCGUUUUGGUUAUCUAUAAUUAAAUUAUAAUAAAAAGUCUUUUUUCUAAUUGAUAUAAUAAUAUAUUUAGUCCUCAAUAUUUAUUUAUUAUAUCAAUUUGAUCUUAAUUCUAAAUAAUUAAAUAAAUUUAACCCCUCACAUUUACAAAUUCUAUCAAUGUGAUCCUUCAACUUCCUAACCAAAACUUUCAGCUUUUAAAACAGAGCCAUUCUGUAUCCAUUAAUUAUUUUAUUUAUGAUUGAAAUUAUCUAAUUUGAUACAUAAUCCUUUUUGUUUAUAUUUUUAAGAAAUUAACUAAACACCAUUAAAAAUAAUAUAAUAUAUAAUAAAAUUAUAUAAAUAAUUUAAUAUUUUUUAAAAAUAAUUUUUCACCUUGACUAGCAUAAUUUCAGUUUUUAAUUAAUUUGGUAAAUAGUUUAUACUAAACCAGAUUAUUAAUGAUACAUAAUGCUUAUUAUGAAUUUAAAAAUUUAAAAAUAAUUAAAAAUAAAUAGAAUACAUAAUAAUCUCUAAUGAGUUCAUAAAAAUUUUAAAAGAUCAUUAUCAAUGUUACAAAAAGAAAUUCAAUCAAUUCUUUCACAUUUGUUUUCUUACGAAAAAUUAGAUGUUAUAUAAUUAUUGAUUGAACAAUUGAAUUUUUCAAAACAAUAUUUUUUAACUUUGGAUUUAAUUUCCAACUUCAAGGAUUAACUUGAAGGAUUAUUUCUACAUACCUUGAAGGAAAUAUCAUAUUGCUAACAACAACAAUAAAUCUAAAGCAUUUUUUUAAAGGUUUUUUCAUUUUCUUUAGUCAAAAUUUUAUCAAUCAAAGGGUUAAAAAACACUACAUUUAAAAAAUUAUGAAAUAAAAAAAUAAAAUUUCAAGAUAAACUUAUUAAUAUCCAGAAUUAGCUCAGAAAAAUUGAAAGAUAUAUAUAUAUACCUUAGAAUAUACUUUUGUUAAAUAAAUAAGAAUUUAUUAUUUCGUCACCUUGCAUGCGAAACUUUUACAUUGUAAUAAUGUCAGAAACAAUAAUCUUUUUUUUUUAUUCAUUAGGAUUAGUGAUUGAUUUGUUCAAACAUUGUAAUUAGUUCAGUAUGAUAUAAACUUGAAAACCCAAUUGGAAAAAGAAAUAAUUGUUACUGUUUCUUUCUCUUAGUUUUUUUUUUUUUAAAUAUAGAUAAUUCCUUUUUAAUCUUCUUACAUGAUAUUGAAAAAAAUGAUAUGCUGAAUCCAUCUCUAUUAUACCAGCUAAGAGUUAUUGGAUCAAAGUUCAAAUAAUAUCUAGAGCCCAAGAUUAAGUUGACUUUUACAAAGGACAUUUAGUAGUAUAUAAGAUAAACCCUUGUAGUUUUCGGUGUCUAGCAUAAUCACAGACAAUCACUUGCAAUACGUAGAUUGGCACCUCACGUAGAUCAUAUUGUUUCCCUUACAAUGUACCCUGUGUAGAGGAGAGGACCAUGAUGGAACUCAUGCUUUGCGUCCAAGAUAAAUCAACUUUAUUGAGGUCCUAAGUAAGAUCAUCCCUUUUCCAGUCUUUCCUUCUUUUACCAUUACUCGCCUCAUCCUCCACCAUUAGAGUUGCACUAAACCAUUUUCUUUAGAAUCAUCACUAACUCAAGCUUCAAAAAGUGUUUUGAAAUCCACACUCUAGCACCUUUUAACUUACCAUCUUCUUACAAUAUUCCUCCCUCAAUUAUGUCCACCAAGAUCUAGCUAGCUUAAUUCACCUAGAAGCUUAUCAUUCAUCAAUAAAGACAAACAUUUGUCUUCUAUAGGAACCUCAAGUAAAAUGCCAUGAAUCCUAUCGUAGAAGCAACCUCCACCUAUAUCUCCGCCUUAGUUUCUACCACUUUAAUCGUGCCAACCAUAAAUGCCUUUGGCACAACCCAAAACUCCUCUAUAAUUAAGAAUAACAUGCCCCCUAUAUCCAGCUAAGGCUUGAACAUUCCUAGUGUGAAGAAACCAGUUGUGAACAUUUUAAGUAUUCUCUCUACUGUGAACUUGGGCUUGCUCACUUUAACAACCUUGUCCUCUACAUUUGUUGGAGCCUUCACCAUGCCCUUACUUUAGGCUUCUCCACUGGUCCACAGGCUUCUUUGUUUUUUCAAACCUAAACACCUCUCAACAGUUUGGUUCUUCUGAUAAGAGUAAAUGGUGUAUAUAAGUUUAGUUCAAAAAUAAGUAUUUCCUUGGCCCCCAAACAAUGUUCACUAUUCAUUCAAUGACUGCAAUGUACAAUAUUGUUGUCAAAUAAUAAUUAUAACAAAAUAAAUCCGUUAGAAAGUAUUUCGAGGAUCGAACUCAUAAGAAAAUGUUACGGACAACUUUAACUAAUUACUUGACUCACUAAUUAACUAAACUACUAAUAUAAAUAAGAAGAUAAUUAAACAAUGCAAAUAUCAAUAAUAUGUAAAAAAAUGAAAGCGCCAUAGGUGAAACAAUAAGAUAUCUUUUAUCUCUUUGGGUUAAAUCCGUUCACCCAAUAUGAUCUUAUUUAUCUCAUGGUAACAAUUACAUAUUCCUUCAUAAAAAGUCAAUUACUAACACACAGUAAUUAAAUCAUUCAUCCUAGAUAAAUAACUUAUAGCCAUGUUACUUUUCCAUCAACCAUGUAAUGCUUGUGAAAGGAUACCAUUUACCUUUUAUUGAGCAAUAAAUUUCACUAUUGUAAAUGAAGCUAUACCAUGCAGAAUUCAUAUACUCAACAUAUCGGUUUUCAGAUCUAUUGCCAAUUGAACUCAGGUUUUUAAUACAUCAAAGUAUAUGAGUCAUGCAGACAUAGUUAGUCGUUUACUCAGGAUUGAGGUAAGUCACACUAUGAACGUCACAUGUGAAUAAAUCCAUAAACAAAUCUUCGAUAAAUUCAACUUGGGUCUUUUCCGAUGUAUUGUCAGUCUAAACAAUCACACAUAUAUCUCUAUCUUCUAGGAGUCAUCCGCUCCAAUACCAAAGACAAGGUGUCUUCCCAAUUGAAGUAGAUAGACAAUAUAAUAGUCUUUGAAUCGAUUUGCUCAUUUUGGAUUCUUUCAACUAUAAACUAUUUGGAUUACCUACCAAUAUAAGUUGUUUUCUUGCAUCAUGAUUCGACCAUAUGACGCAACUAAAUAUUAGUUAAAUAUUAAGUAAUUGGUGAGUGAUCUGCAUAGUUUGAUAUGAGAAAUUAGACUUUCUCGGUAUACUUAAGGAGUUUAUUCUCAAGCAAAUAAACAUCAUUUUAGUAGUUUUUCGUAAUUUUUAGAUUUUAAGUUUGCCGAAACCAUUUUUUUGAAUAUGUCGACUUUUAUUUUAAAAAACGGAAAUGGAGUCGUCACCAAUCUUUUUUAUGAGGUGUGAUCGGAUCACCUUGUAAAUUUGAUCUUUUCAAUAAAAUAUUUUGAUUUAUUAAAACAAUGAUUUUGGUCUACGAAAUUCGAGAAAACAGACUCGAGAGUCGAUUACGUGGGAGAAAGGAUUAGCACCCUCAUCACGCCCAAAAUUGGUACCUAAUUGUUAAUUAAUGUCCUAAUGUCGAAAGUUGAAAUUUUAAAAAAUUUUAAAAUACGAUCCCUUUUUUUAUUAAUGUUCAUUUUAAAAAUGUUUGAAUUAAAUUAAAGCGAGCAUCAAAUGCCCACUCAUCCCGAGAUAACAAAAUGCCACAUCCCGUAAGUUAGGAUGCGACAUUUGAAUCCUCAAGAACAAGUUUACCUUUAAUUUUUAUCGAAACUUCAUGUACUUUGAAAUCUAAAAGGAUAUUUGGCUAUUUAGGUUUAACAAGAAAAUAGAAACCCCGUAAGUUAGGAUACGAUUUCUUGAAUUCCCAAAACGUAAAUAUUGCCUUAUUUUGAAAAGUUUCCUUUUUGAAUAAUAAUGAGUACAACACUUAACGAUGUGCGUUUAUUUUGUUUGGAGUAAAAUAAAACGAUCUAUAUUGGAUAAACAUAUUGGAUUUUAAUACACGAUGUGAUUUAAACGAAAUAAAAUAAAAAGUCAAUAUGGAGUAUGAAAUAAUAAUACAUGAAUUAAAUGCUAUGUUAAUGAAUGUCAACAAUAUGAAAAUAUUAAUAAAUAAUUUCUAGAGCAUAUAAUGGCAAUAUUCACAUAAUAAACCAUUUUAAUACCAAUAUUAACAAACAAAGAAAACAAAACAAAAUAAUAUAUAAAACAAUUUAAAGUAAAUAAUAUUUUAAAAUAAAUAAUUUAAUAAACAAUUUGAAAUAAAUAAUAGGACAGUUUCAAAUAAAUAAAAUAUAAAAUAAAAAACAUAUGUAAAAGUUUGAAAUAAAUAAUAUAUGAAAAAAAGGUUUAAAAUAAAUAAUAUAUAAAAAGAAAUUAAAAUAGAUAAUAUAUAAAAUAAUUUAAAAAUAAUAUAUAACAAAACAGUUUCAAAUAUACAAUAUAAUUUUUUUUAAAAUAAGUAACAUAUAAAACAGUUUAAACUAAAUAAUAUAUAAAAUAGAUAAAAGUUUGAAAUAAAUAAUAUAUAAAAAAGUUUAAAAUAUAUAAUAUAUAAAAAAACUAAAAAUAGAUAAUAUAUAAAAUAAUUCAAAAAAUAAAAUAUAAUAAAACAGUUUAAAGUAAAAAGUCAAAGAUUGAAUAUAAAUUGGAGUAAAAAUAUGGGGUGUAAAUCGUAAAUGAUAAAAAGGGAUGCCAAGGACCAAAAUAAAAUGCGCUUAAAGAAUGAGGAACUGAUUGGGAAAAUAUUCCCAGCCCUUAUGCGCAACGUUUCAGCGUGGGCCAAAGAGUACUAAAAAAUAAAUUAUUCGGACAAAUCUCAAACAUAUCAAACUAUUAUGGGAUCAAAUUGAAACGUACAAGAAAAAUAGAAGGAUUAAAAUAGCAAAUAACCCAUUUGGACUUAAAAACACGCGGAUCCCCCACUAAAUGGGUCGGGUUGCGAGUUAGCCCCCCAAAACGAUGCCGUUUUGGCGUUUGGGGGGCCAGAUUAAACUACGUCAUUUUAUGGGUGCUAUUUAAGCCCAAAUUUUUUUAAAAAUUUCAUUUUUAGCCUUCCACUUUUUAAAAAAACUAAAAAAAAAACCUCUAACCCUCUCACUUUCUCCCUUUCUCUGGCGAUUAGGCCACCAUCCAUCUGGCAUGGCCGUUGGCGACGGUGACCGCUGUGUAUGGCGACCUGAGUAGAAAAGAAUAGGUUUUUCUUAGAUUUUUUCACCUUAAGUCCUGAUUUAAUGUCAAAACACCCAAAAACCAACGAUAUUUACAAGAAAAUGAAAAUAAAAUGAAAAAAAGGAGGGACCUUUCGGUUCCCUCGUGCCACCGGUGGGGGUUUUCAGCGAGCCUAUUAACUCGGCCACCUUCCAUACCGGAGCAAUCUCUGACGACGGCGAUAGGUAACUAGCGUUUUUUUUUCUUUUUCUUUUAUAUGUAAAAAUACACAAAGAAAGAAAAAAAUAAGACGAGAACUUAAAACUAAAACAAAGUAAAGAAGAAGAUCACCUUUUAGACAAUUUAAUCUUAUGCUCGUAAAAAAAAAAGUUACAAGGAGAAGGUUGUGGCCUUUAAAGCCAGGUUACUAGACUUUUCUUUUCUAUUUUUUGUCUGUUUCUUCUUGUUUGCUAUUGCUAUUUGUUUGUCCUCUUUUGCUUGCGUGUUUUUCUUGCUUUGCAGGUGACAGAGGCGUCAGAAGGGCGUGGAGGCGGCAGUAGCAGACAAUGGUGGCAGAGGCGUACUGCGGCUGAAGUUUGGGGGGCUAAGGUUAGGGUUUCAAAAAUGUUUAAACAUUCUGGGCCACUUGGGCCUUCAAAUUUUGGGUUGUUAUUUUAAUUAUUUUUGGGCUUUCGGUUUGGGCUUUUGGCUUGUAAAUAGACUAUUCAUUUUUUGGACUUUUAUUUUUUGGGUUUUAUUUUAUAAACUGGGCCAGGCCAAAAUUAGCCUAUUAACUAUCCCUCUUUGCUCGUUGACGUGUAACGUGAAUGGAGGAAAGACUUCAGCAAGGGCUAAUUUUUCCUGGUCUUGCCGAAUCUCGACUUUUGGUGCUUCAUUUCUUCAAGUAGCCUGAUUCCAUCCCGUCGCAUCUUCAGGGGUAUAGGAAUUAGUGCUUCAAUCCACUCCACUAAAACUUCAGAAAGAUUAGACUUGUAGCUUCAAUCUUCUUUACUGCAACUUCAGGAAGAUAAGAUUUGUGGUUUGUAGCUUUAAUUUACUCUACUGCAACUUCAGAGAGAUAAUAUUUUUUAUCUUCAAUCUACUCAUCUGCAACUUUAGGGAGAUAAGACUAGUGGUUUCUAUCUACUCCACUGCAACUUCAGGGAGAUAAGAUUCGUCAUAAUAGAUUUGAUCUGACCUACUGCAACUUUAGAGGUAUAAGAUUUGUGACUUAUAGCCGUAAUCUAUUCCACUGCAACUUCAGGGAAAAAAGAUUUGCUAUCUUCAACCUGCUCCACUGCAACUUCAAGGAGAUAAGGUUUGUGUAUUUUUAUCCUACUCCACUGCAACUUCAGGGAGAUAAGGAUUGUGGCUUCGAUUUGCUCCAAUGUAAUUUCAGGGAGAAGAGGUUUGUAGCUUCGAUCUACUCCGCUGGAACCUCAAGGAGAUAAGAAUUGGUAAUUUCAACCUGCUCCACUGCAACUUCAAGGAGAUGAGAUUUGUAAUUUGCAGCCUUAAUUUGUUCCACUGCAACUUCAGGGAAAUAAGAUUCGCUAUCUUCAGUCUGCUCCACUGCAACUUUAGGGAGAUAAGACUUGCUUUUUUCAAUCUGUUUCACUGCAAGUUCAAGAAGAUAAGAUUCGUCAUAAUAACUUUAAUCUGUCCCACUGCAUCUUCAGAGGUAUAGGAUUUUUAGUUUCAAUGAUUUGUUACAUCAUUCUCUGGGUAACAUGACCUUUAGAAUCCAUUUCAUUAGCCUAUUUUUAUGCCGAGUGAUUAGGAUGUUAUGAUCAGAAUGAAUCAAAUGCUAUUAACUAAAUAUGUAUGAAUGAUAUUUGCAUGAAUGCAGAAUGUCAUUUUUUUUAGAAUAAUCUCCUUUAAUGCUUGGGUUGACAUUGCUCGUUGUUCAUCGAGGUUUUAUCACUAGUGUAUUAUGCACCCUUCUUGCUCAGAUGGUAUCUCUAAUAGAAAACCCGAAGAAAUAAUCACAUAUUGGGCUAUUCUUUCCCAAAUGUUUCCAACUCUUGAAUUUGGUUAGUUCUGACUAGUGGUCCCAUUUCAGGUCCUUUUACUAUUUAGAAGCAUUUUAGAGUAAUAUGCAUAACUCAUUUUGCUUGAAUAUUAUUAGUCCAUCAAUCAUUAUUUCAAUAAAAAUGCUUGAAAAAGAUUAUCACAAUGGACAAGAUUUUAUUGAGAGCUGUAAUGGCCUAAAUUCAAAAUUAUCGGAACAGUGGUUUCGUAACCACAAAUCCAAUUUAAAGAGAAAUUUAUUUCAAUAUUUUUACAUGAAAAUUGAUAUGAUUGGAAAAUCGUAUGAAAAUAUUGAUAGAAAAAUUUUACCGAUUUAGUGAUUAGAUAGAAAAAGAAAUUAUUGAAGAAAUUGGGUAAAAACAAGGUAUCGAGACCUCUAUCUCGUAAAACUGAGUAAAAAUAAUUUUAUAAAUAUUUAUGAAAUGUUAUUAAUGCAGUAUUAAGAUUUCGUUAGGAAAUUUUAAUGUUUGGGUAGUCUAUUAAAUGAAAAUGACUAAAUUGUAAUAGGUGUAAAAGUUACUAGAAUAAUUAAAUAGCUUAAAAGUCUAAUGAGAAAGGAUUUAAAAGGAAAUUAGACCCAAAAUUUAUUUGGGCUGGACGGCAAGGGUAUGAAAUCAGCAGAAAAAUUGAUAAAUUAAGGGUAAAAUUGGAAUAUUACAAAAUUAACUAAAUAAAACUAGGACUAAAUAGGAAAUAUCUAGAUUUCUCUUCAUUUCUCUUCAAUUCCAGCAGCUAAAAACGCCAUAGGAGGGUUCUCUAAGCUGGUAUUUCAUAAUUUUUUCACCAAGUGAGUUAAUCCUUGCCUUUUUCUUGUAAUUUUUGUGUUUCUAAGACUUUUACAACUAGGUCCUACUAUUAAAUUCAUUAGUUUUUGAUUUCAUGGAUGAAAUUGAAAGUCACCAUGAUUGAGUGCUGUAAGUUUAUCAUGAAAUAGAAUGAAAUUAAAGCUUUAAUUUGUUUAUGAGAUGAUUUUAUUAGGUAAUUUCAAUAGAAAUUGAUUUUUAGGACCUAAUUGUGAAAAUGCUUGGAAUUAAAGUCUAUUGCUGAAAUUAUGAUUCCUAAAGGUUGUAAACUAGUUUAAGGUGAUAGAAUAAAAUGUUGAUUGAGAAAAAUCAGAUCAAUUGAGAGGCUAAUUGAGUAGGGAUGAAAUUAUCAUUUAUUAAAAGCUUAGGGGAAAAAUGGUAAUAAACAGCUUGCACAAAAACAGUUUGGACAGCAGCAGUAGACUAACUUUGAAAAAUCACCAUAAACUUUAGAAAUCGAAUUAGAAGAUUAAAAAAAUAUGGCAUUAAAGCUUAUUGAGUCUAGUUUCUCAUAGAAGAAAUAGUGUAAGCAAUGGAUUUGUAAAUUUUGAGAUAUAAUGAAUUUUGUGAGAAAAGGUCAGAAUGAAUUCGGGUUCCCCUGUUAUGACUUUGAAAAAUCAUAAAAAAUUGAAUAAAAACAAUUAUGGGCUUAAAUUUAUAUGUAUAGAAUCCUUAAUGAGUCUAUUUUUAAGAGAAACAAACAAUAACAUUAUUUGAAUUCUGUAUGAAGAGAUAAUUAGUUUUUAGGGAAGAAGGGUCAGAACUGUCGACAGCAGAACAGGGGUGACUUUAAAGAAUAAACUGUACUUAUUGGAUUAACCAAAAAUUCUGAAAAUUUUAUGGUAAAAAUAUAUAUGAGUCUAGUUUGAGAGAAAAUUAACGGAUCUUAAUUUGGAGUUCCGUAUCUCAAGUUAUAAAUAAUUUAGUGACUAUGACUCAAGUAGACAGCUUUGAAUGAACUAUAAAUAAUAGUUGAAUUAUAGAGAAUGUUGCAUAUGAACAUGAAAUGUAUUAAAUUGAUAAUUAAAUUUAUUUAUUUAGAUCCGGAAGAUUCAAAUACGAAGCUAGAUCGAGGAAAGAAAAAAGUUCGGGAUUAGUAGAUUUUUAUUGUUUACAAACAAGUAUCAAGGUAAGUUCGUGUAACUUGAAUUAUAUUCUUAAAUGCUUGAGAUUGUAUGUUAUUGAUGUGAAUAUGAUUUGAGUGUUCAUUGUAUGAAAAUUAAUGAAACAUUGAUAUAUUUGAUAAAAUGGGAAGAAAUCUCGGUUGAAUGAAAGGAAAAUUCGAUGGAUCUCUGAAAAGGAAUUGACGGUAAAAAAGAUCUAGCCCGGACGGGUGAUCCUAUCCUGAUAUAGCCCUCCCGAAGAAUAUGUGUAAAAUGGAUUUAGCCCGGACGGGUAAUCCGAAUUAGAGUCUGAAUUUAGCCUGGACUGGUAAUUCAGAUCCAAGCUCAUUAGAGUAAUUGUCGUUGCAGGGGAUUUAGCCUGGACUGGUAAUCCCGACAAUACUCUAUGAGUUUAUAUUGCAGGGGAUUUAGCCUGGACUGGUAAUCCUGCUGCAAGGUUGAGGUUAGCGGGAGUGUGCUCUCUGAAAUGGAAAUGUGCGCACAUGAAUAUGAAUUGACGGACCCGGAAUUGUACACUAAAAGUGUACCUCUGAAAAUCCAUCGAAAUUCCGAUAAAUUCAACGGGAUAAAUAUGGAAAAUAAUAAGGGAAUGAAAAUCAUGGUAUUGAUGAGUACAUCAAUCAUGGUAUUUAUUAUUGGUACAUGGAAAUUAUUGUACUAACUUGAAUGUUGAGUUUGUGCAUAUUAGAGUAAUAAUGCAUUGAAUGGAUAUAUGGAUGUUUAUUGUAUUGUAUUGAAAAUAUUAGGUAAGUAUAAUUCUUGUUACAUGAGCUUACUAAGCACGAAGUGCUUACCCCGUUUCCUUUUUCCCUGUUUUGUAGUGUUAAGAGCUCGGAGGUCGGAUUUGGUCGGAGACACAUCACACUAUCAACCUCUGGAUUUCGGUAUAUAAAGAAACUUUAUUUUCGAAAUCAAUGGCAUGUAUAAGCUAACAAAGUAAAUGUUAACGUGAAAUGAAUGUAAAGUUAGCCAUUAGUAUGGUUAACAAACCUGGUUUUAGAUAUGUGAUGACGUUAUCUUAUAAAUAUGCAUGAAUUUAUCUUGAAAAUAUGUUGAAUUGAUUUGGUUGAUGUGGAUUGGUCUCGAUUUAAUAUUGUAGGGAAUGUUAGAUAUUUAUAAAGGGGCUAUAUUGAAUAUAAAAAAAAUUUAAUUCGUAAACUUCGAUAAUGCCUCGUACCCUAUUCCGGCAAUGAAUACAGGUAAAGGUAUUACAAGAGCAAAGUUUGAAAUUAAGUUAUCAUAAUAGAAAAUUUUGCUAGAAUACAAAAUGAAUAAAAUGAAAGUAGGUGCCCUAGAUACCGUAGCAUGAGCUUCUCCGCACAAAACUUCUCGAGGACCCUUUGAACUUGCUAUGUAUUUAAAAGACCUAAAAUGCUUUGUUGAUGCCCCAAGAUGUAACAUCCCUCCUUCUUGUUAAUUUGGGCAUUGCAAGACUACUGCAUGCCUCACCUUUGAUCAAAAUUUGAAUUGCCUUUUUCUUGGGAUUUCAAUUCAGAACCCCUUUGGUCUCAAGGCGCCCUUUGCGGGUUUCCGCCUUGGCCUCUCCCUUUUCUUUUCUUUUUCUUUUCUUUCUUUCUCUUUUUUUUUAAGUGAAGUAUUCCUUGAUUGAAUUCGAAUUCACAGGAUUAUGCAGGUUCUUGCCAUCCAUCUUGGUCAGUAUCGAUGUUCUUCUAGAGAAGGCCUUUUUUACCACAUAAGAUCCUUCCCAGUUUGGCAUCCACUUUUAUCUGAAGUCCUUUUGUAUAGGAAGGAUCUUUUUCAAAACUAGAUCCCCUUCAUAGAAUUCUUUGGGGCGAACCUUUUUUUCAUAAGUUCACAUCAUUCGUUUUUGGUACAUUUGACCAUGACGGAUAGCUUUCAAACCUCUUUUCUUUAAUCAGGUUCACUUGAUCAUAUCGAAAUUGGAUCCAUUCUACUUCAUCUAACUUCAGCUUAACUAAAACUCAGACGAAAAAAAUCUCAACUUCAAUGGGCAAAACCACCCCAUUCCAUAAACCAAUGAGAAAAGCGUUGGCCCAGUAGAGGUUCUGAUAGACGUUCGAUAGGUAUAGAUGGUAAUUUCUUAUGCCGAUCUUUGUAAGUCUCUGCCAUUUUUCCACUAUCUUCUUAAUUUUAUAAUUGGUUGUAUCCACUGCACCGUUCAUUUUUGGGCUAUGUAGUGUUUGAUCUUGAACUAACUGCAAACUUCUGAUAUCGUGCUGUUAUGCAUUAUCAGAUAUGAUCAUUUUUGGCAUUCCCUAUCGACAUAUGAUCUUUUUUUUUAAACAAUUUGAUGACUGCCGACUUUAUGACAUUACCGUAUGAAGCAGCUUCCACCCAUUUAGCGAAGUAAUGGACGAUCACACAGAUGAAACGAUGCCUGUUAGAAACUUUUGGGCGAGAUCAGCCCAAUGACAUCCAUGCCCCAUAUAGAGGAAGGCUAUGGAUUCCACUGACUUUUUGUAAGGUAAGAUUUAUUUCUCAUCUUGUUCUACCAUCCUUAACAAAUCAGGAGAUAAGCUAUAGUCUUGGUUAUCUUCAAAGUCCUGAGGUUCCUUUGGACACAUAUCUUGCUCAAAAUGAGGUUCUGAGUCAAUAGUAGUGUCACUCACACCAUUGAUAUUUGGAGACCUGUUGUAGGGAUGAAAAAAGAUCCAAAGAACGAAAGAGUCUAAGAAUAAUUAUUUGUAUGGUACGAUUAAAUGAAAAAAAUAAAAGAAUAUUUGCUCAGAAUGAGGCAAACAGAUGCAUUUUAUUUGAAAUAAUGAUAUUGGACAUAAGCUUAUUUCACAAAAGGUUUCUUAUUGCUCCUAGGCUUAGAGCAAUAAGUGUGUUUUGAACAUUACUCUGAAUUAGCUCUAAAAAAUACAAGGAUCUCUUCUACAGUCCCAUUGUUCAAAAUACUUUCAGGUAUGUAAAGGUAAAUGCUUGAAAAAUUCUUUUCUCCGGUUCUCUCUUUGGAUACGGCAUUAAUGUUCAGAUUCCCCAACAUUCUUUCUGGGCCUUUGACCUCUUCAAAGAAUUCCAACUCUUUGUUAUCCAUUAGACUUUGCACCAAAACUUUGAAUUUGGCACACUCUUGGAUUUCAUGACCUUCUUUAGCAUGGAACUCACAGUAGCUCCUCAUCCCUUUUGGUCUCUUCUCUGAAUUCUGAAUAAUUAAUCUCAUGUUUAUCAUUUGUUUCAAAACCCAUUUCAGUGGGGUUUUUACUUCUGCAACAUUGGUUUUGGCUCUCUUUUCUCCACUCUCAAUUAUCAUGUUUACCCUUGGGUCUGGAUGACUGGGUAACGAAUUUUCUGCCACAUUAGAUACCGAUGGAUCUUCGAAUUUUACGAUGCCCAUCUUGAUUAACCUUUCGAUUAAAUUUUUAAAUGUAGUGUAGUUUUCAAUUAAGUGUCCUGUUAUUCCUGCGUGGUACUCGCAUUGGGCAUUUGCAUCAUACCAUUUCAGGAACGGAGGUUGCAUGGGUUUCGAGUAGAACGGGGAUGCCACAUAUGUGGCAAAUAGAUUCUAAUACAGCUCUCUAUAUGUUAUCGGGAUGGGUGUGAACUGGAGCCUUUCUGUAUUUGACAUCGAUUUGGAUUCUUGCCUUAAAGGGCCUUGAUUACGGCCCUUUGCUGGCCUACAGUGAUCGAUUUGGGAUACCCUUUAUUAAACACUUACACGUUUUUCACUUCAUUUUCAUCUUUCUUCGAGGUUGAUCUUCUGGCACUUUCCUUUGCAUCUAUCUUCCCACUCCUUAUUGCGUUUUCAAUCAUCUUGCCGGAUAUUACUAUAUCUAAGAAGCUCAUGGUAGCACCUCCCAACACAUGAUUAAUGAACAGAGCCUUCAGAGUAUUAAUGAAAAGAAUGGUUGUUUCCUUCUCCAGAGGAGGUGGUUGGACUUGCGUCGCUACCUCUUUCCAUCUUUGGACAUACUGCCUGAAGCUUUCACUUGGUUUCUUUUCCAUAUUUUGCAGUGUGAUUCUGUCAGGUGUUAUGUCCGUCACAUGACUAUACUGUUUCAUAAAAGCCUGUGCCAAAUCCUUUCAUGAAUUGAUUUUGGCACGGCUCAAUUGGUUGUUCGUUUGGCUACAGACCCGAUCAAACUGUCUUGAAAGCAGUAGGUUAAUAAUUGGUCGUUAUUAACAUAUCCUGUCAUCCUUCGAUAGAACAUCGUGAUGUGAGCUUCAGGACAGCUACUCCCAUUAUACUUUUUGAACUCUAGAGUCUUGAAUUUUGGUGGGAGAACCAAAUCUGGAACCAAACUCAAAUCUUUAGCAUCAAUUCUGCAGUGGUAGUUAAUGUUUUCCGUUGCUUUGAAUUUUUCUUCUAAUCAUCUGCACAUAUCUUCAAGUUGCUUUGGCAGUUCCACUCUUACUUUUUCCAUUUCUACUAUAUCAUAUAGAUCCAACAACAGAAUUGAUUAGAUUAUCCCCCGGAUUGGAGCCCGAACCUAUUGGAUAGUUCGCUGGUGUAGAAGUACCAAUUUGGUAUUGUUGGGGUCUGAUAGUAACGGGUACCCUUCGUGGGCAGGCCUCUGGUUGAGUCUGGACAUUUAUCGGGGUAAAACCUGGGGGAUAGGUAAGGUCUUCAUUAUCAUCCCCCAAGUUAACCGCAAUAUUCUUCCCUUUUUCAAGUCCUCCAGCCAGUAAUUGCAUCAAGUGGCUUAACAUACUUCUUUGGGAUUCUUACAUUUGAUCCCUGAUAUCUUUUUGAAUUUUGGCUAAUUAUUCUUGCAUCUGUGCUUGCAAUUGAUAUUGCAUAUCUCUUUGCAUUUGUUCUAAUCUUUCCAAUCUUUGAUCUAUUGCCUUGGCUUUGCGGCGGGUACUGUAACGAUAUUUAGUUGGUAAACUCUCGUUAAUUUCCAGGGUAAUUGUCAUAAUUUUAAUUAAUUAGGAUCUCGUUGUGAAUUUUAAUGCAUAUGAUGCAAUAUAAUACAAAUGCAUGAAAUGAAUACAAAAAGAUGUGUUGAUUCUGAUUCAAUUCUGUUAGAACAACUUUACUAGAAAACAAAUCUAUUUACAUAAAAUGGAUAUUUACAUAUACAACUUUAACCUAAUAUUCAAAGUGAAGACAUCGAUCUUUUUCUUCAUAUUCAGAUGUUAUGAUCGAAUCUCGCGAAUUUUCUAAGGGAUGUUUCUACUAUCUCUUUUUGCUUGAUUCGGGCCGCGACCUGGCUCACCCAUCCCCAUGAUGCUCAUUAGCUUCUUUAAGAAAUUUGAAACAUUAACGACUUUCAAAUAAUCUUUGUCGGCUUGAAUCCUCGGGCAACAAAACAAAGUCGUGUAUCCCUUUGUCAGACUAUAACCCUUCUUUCGCUGUGUUUUCUCGGACCAUAUUCGGACGACCGCAUUGUCUUCCACUUUAUCAAGAAAUCCAUUUUCCAUGACAAACUUUCUAUUUAGCAACUGAACGUGAAUCAACACCUCUUUUCUAUGAUGAAAAUACAAUGCAAUAAUAACCAAAACAAAAUGAAAUAGGUUAGAACAAAGCAAAAGUAAGCAAGAAAAAAUAAAUAGAGCACAUAUUCGGGUGAACACUAGGGUUUGGUAUAGUUCUACCUAGGGUAGGUUUUUAGGCUCAUUAUAUGCUGUUUGGUUCUAAAGUAAGGGUACCUGAACUGGCAGAUUCCUCGAUCUUCACCCAUUAUAGGCUCAUGCGGAUUGAGUUCAAUUUAGAGGAAUACAUUUCCCUAUGGCUAUACGGAGAUGAAAAUCUCACGAAGACAUUGGUACGGAUGUAUCCCAAAAGCGAUCCACUACCCUAUACGGAGGUGAAGACCUUACGAAGGAAUAAUUUCUCACUCCCACUUAAUAGGGUAAAAUUGACCGAUCCUGCAAUGCCAUAUGUAGAGAUAUAUUAAAAGGGCUCAAAUCAAUAAAGUAAACAUAUUAUGACCAAAACCACAAAAAAUGACGGAUGUAAUGCAACGAAAAGAUCGUAAUUUUAAACCAGAUUUCCAAUUUUCGACAAAAAGACAGAAAAUAAACAAUUUGCGGCUUGAAUCUCUUAUUUUGUCCCUAACGGAGUCACCAAGCUGUCGAAACUAUUUUUUUGAAAAGGUCGACUUUUAUUUUAAAAAACGAAAAUGGAGUCGCCACUAAUAUUUUUUAUGAGGUGUGAUCAGAUCACCUCGUAAAUUUAAUCGUUUUAAUAAAAUAUUUUGAUUUAUUAAAAUAAUGAUUUUGGUCUACGAAAUUUGAGAAAACGGGCUUGGGAUUCGAUUACGUGCGAGGAAGGAUUCGCACCCUCAUCACGCCCAAAAUUGGUACCUAAUUGAUUAAUUAAUGUCCUAAUGUCGAAAGUUGAAAUUUUGAGAAAAUUUUAAAAUACAAUCCCUUUUUUAUUAAUGUUAAUUUUAAAAAUGCUUGAAUUAAAUUGAAGCGAGCAUCAAAGGCCCACUCGUCCCGACAUAACAAAAUACCAUAUCUGUAAGUUAGGAUGCGACAUUUGAAUCCUCAAGAACAAGUUUGCCUUUAAUUUUUACCGAAACUUCAUGUACUUUAAAAUCUAAAAGGAUAUUUGGCUAUUUAGGUUUAAUAAGAAAAUCGAAAUCCCGUAAGUUAGGGUACGAUUUCUCGAAUUCCCAAAAUGCGAAUAUUGCCUUAUUUUGAAAAUUUUCCUUUUUGAAUAAUGAGUACAACACUUAACGAUGUGCAUUUAUUUUGUUUGGAGUAAAAUAAAACGAUCUAUAUUGGAUAAACACAUUGGAUUUUAAUACACGAUGUGAUUUAAACGAAAUAAAAUAAAAAGGUAAUAAACCAUAAAAGUAAUACAUUCUAAUCUCAUACUUAGCAUAUUUUUGGAUGAUUUAUCAUAUAAUUUAGUGAAUUAGAUGCUCUUAAUCCUUUAAUUUCACAUUUUAUACUCAAGAGAGCAUAGAGGAACAAAAUAAGUAGAAAACAUGCCAAAAACGGAGAAAAUGGGCUGAUUGAAAGAUCCACACGGCCAAGACGAAUUCCACACUAAUUGAGCACACGCCCGUGUGAGCCACACGCUCAUGUGGUAGCCCGUGUCGAUAUCGCUCCCUAUUUCUCUAACACGCAGAAAAAGCCAAUUUUAGGGUUUCUGAGUAUUCUAAAGUCUAUAAAUACAUACUAAAAGAGGACCUAAGGGGACACACCGAGUAGAGGGCAAAAAUCACACGAAGGAAGCUGUUGGAAUCAUCUUAGAAACAGAUCCACCUCAAGAUUUAAGAUCUCCAUUCAAAUUUCUCUCGAAGUUUAUUUGAGUUUUUUAUGUCUUGUUGUUUUUCUAAAUUUGAGAUGUUUUCCUUUUACAUUAUGAACUAAACUCCCUAAAUACCUAGGGAGGUUGAAACCUACAAUGGUCUUGUUAUUUAAUUAUCUGAAUUACACGAUAAAUAUUUGUUCUUAUUCUUAAUUAUGUGUUAUUAAUUCUUACUUUAAUAUUUUCAGGAUAUUAAUUCAAGUUUGAUGUGCUUAUUCAGUGGAGCAAAAGUCCCUGUUUAGGAGUAGAUCUAGCAUAAUUAAGCGGAGUUGAUUGCAAUCCUAGAAAUAGGACGACAUAAAUCUGUCGGAUUAGAGUCAAAUCUAAUAAGGGAAUCCAUAGAUUGAGUUAAUGCGACUAUAGGGGUUUUAAUUAGAAAGGGAUUUCAAUUAAUCAACUUAGAGUCAGUUGUUUUUAGUCUCGAAAGAGAUAUUAACAUAAUUUAGGGAUUUUUACGGAUCAAGACAAGUGAAUAGAUCGUUUGAUUCAGAGUCAGAAUAAUAAGUAAAGUCUAGGUGGAUUCUUUCCUGGGUAUUGUCCUCUUUAUAAGUCUUCUUCAAGCAUUUUUCCCAAUUCACUCUUUGUUGCGUUCAGUAGUUAAUUAGUUAAUUUUAAAUUAAAACAAAUCUCUUAUAUUUUAGGUUAUAUAAUAGAAAGAUAGUUACUACUAGUACUUUUAGUCCUUGUGGAUACGAUAUUCUAGACUCACCAUAACUAUACUACCAUUUGAUAGGUGCGCUUGCCUUUGUCGUGAUUGUAAUCUAGUUUAGUGAAGCAUAAAACGAUUAAUACAUAAAUUAAAUACUAUGUUAAUGAAUGUCAACAAUAUGAAGAUAUUAAUAAAUAAUUUCUAGAGCAUAUAAUGGUAAUAUUCACAUAAUACACUAUUUUAAUACCAAUAUUAACAAACGAAGAAAACAAAACAAAAUAAUAUAUAAAAAAAAUUAAAUAUAUAAAAAAAUUUAAAGUAAAUAAUAUUUUAAAAUAAAUAAUUUAUAAAACGUUUUGAAAUAAAUAAUAGGACAAUUUUAAAUAAAUAAUAUAUAAAAAAAACUUAUAAUAAAUAAUAAUAAAACAGUUUCAAAUAUACAAUAUAAAAAUUUUAAAAUAAAUAACAUAUAAAACAGUUUAAACUAAAUAAUAUAUAAAAAAUAAUAACAUAUGUAAAAGUUUGAAAUAAAUAAUAUAUGAAAAAAAAGGUUUAAAAUACAUAAUAUAUAAAAAAACUUAAAAUAGAUAAUAUAUAAAUAAUUUAAAAAUAAUAUAUAAUAAAACAAUUUCAAAUAUACAAUAUAAUUUUUUUUUUAAAAUAAGUAACAUAUAAAACAGUUUAAACUAAAUAAUAUAUAAAAUAAAUAACAUAUGUAAAAGUUUGACAUAAAUAAUAUAUGAAAAAAAAGGUUUAAAAUAAAUAAUAUAUAAAAAAACUUAAAAUAGAUAAUAUAUAAAAUAAUUUAAAAAUAAUAUAUAAUAAAACAGUUUCAAAUAUACAAUAUAAUUUUUUAAAAAAAAUAAGUAACAUAUAAAACAGUUUAAACUAGAUAAUAUAUAAAAUAGAUAAAUUAUGUAAAAGUUUGAAAUAAAUAAUAUAUAAAAAAGUUUAAAAUAAAUAAUAUAUAAAAAAACUUAAAAUAGAUAAUAUAUAAAAUAAUUUAAAAAUCAUAUAUAACAAAACUGUUUCAAAUAUACAAAAUAAUUUUUUUAAAAAUAAGUAACAUAUAAAACAGUUUAAACUAAAUAAUAUAUAAAAUAGAUAACAUAUGUAAAAGUUUGAAAUAAAUAAUAUAUAAAAAAAGUUUAAAAUAAAUAAUAUAUAAAAAAACUUAAAAUAGAUCAUAUAUAAAAUAAUUUAAAAAAUAAUAUAUAAUAAAAUAGUUUAAAGUAAAAAGUCAAGGAUUGAAUUGAAAUCAGAGUAAAAAUAUGGGGCGUAAAUUGUAAAUGAUAAAAAGGGUGCCAGGGACCAAAAUAGAAUGCGCUUAAAGAAUGAGGGACUGAUUGAGAAAAUAUUCCCAUCCCUUAUGUGCAACGUUUCAGUGUGGGCCAAAGUGUACUAAAAAAUAAAUUAUGUGGACAAAUCUAAAACAUAUCAAACUAUCGUGGGAUUAAAUUGAAACGUACAAGAAAAACAGAAUGAUUAAAAUAGCAAAUAGCCCAUUUGGGCCUUAAAAAUACGCGGAUCCCCCACUAAACGGGUCGGGUUGCGGGUUGGUCCCCCAAAACGACACCGUUUUGGCGUUUGGGGGGCCAGAUGAAACUAUGUCGUUUCAUGGGUGCUAUUUAAGCCCAAAUUUUUUUAAAAUUUCAUUUUCAGCCUUCCCCUUUAAAAAAAAAAACUCAAACCAUCUCACUUUCUCCCUUUCUCUAGUGAUUGGGCCACCGUCCAUCUGCCAUGGCCGUCGGCGACGGUGGCCGCUGUAUAUGGCGGCUGGAGUCGAAAAGAAUGGGUUUUUCUUCUAUCUUUCGGUUCCCUCGCACCAUCGGUGGGGGUUUUCGGCGAGCCCGUUGACUUGGCCACCCUCCAGAUCAGAGCAAUCUCCGACGGCGACAAUAAGGUAACUAGCUUUCCUUUUUCUUUUCUUUUUUUUUUAUAUGUAAAAAUACACAAAGAAAGAAAAAAAUAAGAUGAGAACUUAAAACUAAAACAAAGUAAAGAAGAAGAUCACCUUUUAGACAAUUUUUGUUCCUUUUUUUAUUUAAUCUUGUGCUCGUAAAAAAAUUUUACAAGGAAAAGGUUGUGGCUUUUAAAGCCAAGUUACAAGACUUUUCCUUUCUAUUUUUUGUCUGUUUCUUCUUGUUUGCUAUUGUUAUUUGUUUUUCUUUGUUUGUUCUCUUUUGCUUGUGUGUUUUUCUUGCUUUGCAAGUGAUAGAGGCGUCAGACGCGCUUGGAGGCAGUAGCAGCAGACAAUGGUGGCAAAGGCGUGCGGCUGCUGAAGUUUGGGGGGCUAAGGUUAGGGUUUUAAAAAUGUUUAAACAUUCUGGGCCACUUAGGCCUUCAAAUUUUGGGUUGUUAUUUUAAUUAUUUUUUGGCUUUAGAUUUGGGCUGUUUGGUUUGUAAAUGAACUAUUCAUUUUUUGGACUUUUACUUUUUGGGUUUUAUUUUAUAAACUGGGCCAGGCCAAAAUUGGCCUAUUACAGAGUUAAUAAGUGCAAAAGUCUCAUUUUUACUCAUUUGUGACCCAAUUUGGCGGUAGUGCCAUUGGGGAACUAACAUGUGGUUGAGUGGUCUAAACACGUGUUGGAGGUUAAAAACGAGCGAAAAAAGCACCAAAAGAAAGGGUAUCACGAUAUCCAAACCUUUGAAUCCCGAUACCUCCAACAGGCUUGAAGAUUAGAGACCACCCUUCGGUGGGAUCGCAAUAUCCAUUUUGGGCAUUGCGAUAUCUGCCCUUAAAGACGACCCCCAAGUUCGAAACUGACUGGGGUAUCGCGAUAUCCUCUUUUAGGUAUAGCGACACUGAUAUCGUAAGGGGGAAAUUAGACAAAAAGGGUAGUCUUUGUCCACCCGAUGCACUAAUCACACAAGGCCCCUGUAGGGGAAAUUUUGGCAACAAAAUUUUAUCAACAUUCAGCCUAAAAUAGCCAAUUUUGGCUGAGGAGGAAAAAGACACACAUUAGUUUAAUUUUUAGCUUUAGUUUCUCUAGGUUUUCUCUUAAUUUUUUUUGGAACUUUUCUAGGAUUUUAUUUUUUCUUCUCCUUUAAUAGUUUUAGAGUUUAUUUUUCUACACUUGCUUUUUGUUCUUAGUGUUCUAAGUGUUAGUUAAGUCAGUUAUCACUAUAACUUAGGUUUAUUUGCACUUUCAGUCUCUGUACCUUGAUUGUAAGACAUUUUUAGUUUAAGUUUAAUGUAUUUCAGUUUCAUUUACUUUAAACCAGCUAAAGUUUGUUGCUUUAGAUUUUCUUAUUGAAUGCCUUUAGUUUCAUAUUUUUUAAGUUUUCUUGCAUAAAAAUCUAAAGUUUAAAUUUUUCUUAAGCUUUACUUUAAUGGUUUCUUUGCUUUUCAUUUCUAUGCCCAUUAGCUUUAUUUUCAGCAUGAGUAGCUAAACCUAAAAAGAGGUUGGUUGAUGGAGAUAUGGGUAAGUUGAUUUUUUUGGACAAGGGAUUAAUUUGUAAUAAAUUAGACUAAAUCGAAUAGACCAAAAAACUUAGGGAUUGACGCCCCUAAGGGAAUAUCUAGACAAGUAAGACCGAGAGGUAAUCUUGUUGUGCACCAAUUCAUUAGUCCCAGAUUAACCGAUGAGAUCGAGAGAUAAACCAUAUUAAUUUGUCUAAAUUGGUAAAAUUGAGAUUGAGAGAUAAAAAUGAGCCACUUAGUAAUUUAAGUGAUUUAAGUCCCUCAUUCGAAGACCAACGAACCACAUCAAAUUCAACCAACCACCGUUAGUCAUCUUGUAAUGGCCUAAAUUCAAAGUUAUCGGAACAGUGGUUUCGUAACCACAAAUCCAAUUUAAAGAAAAAUUUAUUUCAAUAUUUUUGCAUGAAAAUUGAUAUGAUAGGAAAAUCGUAUGAAAAUAUUGAUAGAAAAAUUUUACCGAUUUAGUGGUUAGUUAGAAAAAGAAAUUAUUGAAGAAAUUGGGUAAAAACAAAGUAUCGGGACCUCUAUCUCUUAAAACUGAGUCAAAAAUAAUUUUAUAAAUAUUUAUGAAAUGUUAGUAAUGUGGUAUUAAAAUUUUGUUAGGAAAUUUUAAUGUUUGGGUAGUCAAUUAAAUGAAAAGGACUAAAUUGUAAUAGGUGUAAAAGUUGCUAGAAUGAUUAAAUAGCUUAAGAGUCUAAUGAGAAAGGAUUUAAAAGAAAAUUAGACCCAAAAUUUAUUAUGGCUGGACGGAAAUCAGCAGGAAAAUUGAUAAAUUAAGGGAAAAUUUGAAAUAUUGCAAAAUUAACUAAAUAAAGCUAGGACUAAAUAGGAAAUAUCUAGAUUUCUCUUCAUUUCUCUUCAAUUCCAGCAGCUAAAAAUGCCAUAGGAGGGUUCUCUAAGCUGGUAUUUCAUAAUUUUUGCACCAAGUGAGUUAAUCCUUGCCUUUUUCUUGUAAUUUUUGUGUUUCUAAGACUUUUACAACUAGGUCCUACUAUUAAAUUCAUUAGUUUUUGAUUUCAUGGAUGAAAUUGAAAGUCACCAUGAUUGAGUGCUGUAAGUUUAUCAUGAAAUAGAAUGAAAUUAAAGCUUUAAUUUGUUUAUGAGAUGAUUUUAUUAGGUAAUUUCAAUAGAAAUUGAUUUUUAGGACCUAAUUGUGAAAAUGCUUGGAAUUAAAGUCUAUUGCUGAAAUUAUGAUUCCUAAAGGUUGUAAACUAGUUUAAGGUGAUAGAAUAAAAUGUUAAUCGAGAAAAAUCAGCUCAAUUAAGAGGCUAAUUGAGUAGGGACGAAAUUAUCAUUUAUUAAAAGCUUAGGGGAAAAAUGGUAAUAAACAGCUUGCACUAAAACAGUUUGGACAGCAGCAGUAGACUAACUUUGAAAAAUCACCAUAAAUUUUAAAAAUUGAAUUAUAAGAUGAACAAAAUAUGUAAUUAAAUCUUAUUGAGUCUAGUUUCUCAUAGAAUAAAUAGUGUAAGCAAUAGAUUUGUAAAUUUUGAGACAUAAUGAAUUUUGUGAGACAAGGUCAGAAUGAAUUCAGGUUACACUGUUUUGACUUUUAAAAAUCAUAAAAAAUUUAAUAAAAAUAAUUAGGGGCUUAAAUUUAUAUUUAUAGAAUUUUGAAUGAGUCUAUUUUCAAUAGAAACAAAUGGAAACAUCAUCCAAAUUUUUUAUGAAGAGAUAAUUAAUUUUUAGUGAAGAAGGGUCAGAACUGUCAGACAGCAGAACAGGUUUGACUUUAAAGAAUAAACUGUACUUAUUGGCUGAACCAAAAAUUCUGAAAAUUUUAUGGUAAAAGGAUAUAUGAGUCUAGUUUCAGAUAAAAUUAACGGAUCUUAUUUUGGAGUUCCUUAGCUCGAGUUAUAAAUAAUUUAGUGAUUAUAACUCGAAUAGACAACUUUGAAUAAACUAUAAAUAAUAAUAAUGAAAUUAUAGAAAUUGUUGCAUAUGAACAUGAAAUGUAUUAAAUUGAUAAUUAAAUUUAUUUAUUUAGAUCCAGAAGAUUCAAAUACAAAGCUAGAUCUAGGAAAGGAAAAAGUUCAGGAUUAGUAGAUUUUUGUACACGAACAAGUAUCAAGGUAAGUUCGUGUAACUUGAAUUAUAUUCUUAAAUUGCUUGAGAUUGUAUGUUAUUGAUGUGAAUAUGAUUUGAAUGUUCAUUGUAUGAAAAUUAAUGAAACAUUGAUAUAUUUGAUAAAAUGAGAAGAAAUCUCGUUUGAAUGAAAGAAAAAUUUGAUGGAUCUCUGAAAAGGAAUUGACGGUAAAAAGGAUCUAUCCCGGACGGGUGAUCCUAUCCUGAUAUAGCCCUCCCGAAGAAUAUGUGUAAAAUGAAUUUAACCCGGACGGGUAAUCCGAAUUAGGGUCUGAAUUUAGCCUGGACUAGUAAUUCAGAUCCAAGCUCAUUAGAGUAAUUGUCGUUGCAGAGGAUUUAGCCUGGACUGGUAAUCCCGCUGUAAGGAUGAGGUUCGCAGGGGUGUGCUCUCUGAAAUGAAAAUGUGGGCACAUGAAUGUGAAUUGAUGGACUCCGGAAUGUACACUAAAAGUGUACCUCUGAAAAUCCAUCGAAUAUUCCAAGAAAUUCAACGGGAUAAAUAUGAAAAAAAAAUAUAAGGAAAUGGAAAUCAUGUAUUGAUGAGCUCAUCAAUCAUAGUAUAUAUUAUUGGUACAUGGAAACUUGAAUGUUGAGUUUGUGCAUGUUAGGGUAAUAAUGCAUUGAAUGGAUAUAGGAAUGUUUAUUGUAUUGUAUUGAAAAUAUUAGGUAAGUAUAAUUCUUGUUACAUGUAUAAGCUAAUAAAGUAAAUGUUAACGUGAAAUGAAUGUAAAGUUAGCCAUUAGUAUGGUUAACAAACCUGGUUUUGGGUAUGUGAUGACGUUAUUUUAUAAAUAUGCAUGAAUUUAUCUUGAAAAUAUAUUGAAUUAGAUUGGUUGAUGUGGAUUGUUUUUUGUUUAAAAUUUUAGGGAAGGUUAGAUAUCUAUAAAGGGGUUAUAUUGUGUUAAAAAAAAUUUAAUUCGUAAACUCCGGUAAUACUUCGUACCCUAUUCCGGCAAUGAAUACGGGUAGGGGUAUUAUACAUCUAUUGGUCAAUCUCGUAGUUUUGUACUAUUUACAAUUUGGUCCCUAGAUUAGCAUAUUUAAUUUUCUUGCAAAACUUUCUUAUUAUGAUUUGUCAUACUAUAAUAUCAUAUCAGUAGCCGCUUAGGCUUUGUAGUGCAUGCUAUUUAUCACUCAAUCGUCAUCUCAUUUGGGUUCAAUCCUUGGAAUACUCCAGGGUUCCAUUGUAACACUACAAAUAUUACAACUAACCUGUACGCUUGUAGUAAAAUUGCGCUUUAAAUUUGUUCUAUAAAAUUGUUUGUUUUAUGCGCACGCGAUCAAUGAGCCUGUAAUAGCCUGUUUUUAAUGAAAUUGGAACAGUGGUUUUGAAACUACAAAUUUGAAGUCAGAAAAAUUUAUUUUAUUAUUAUUUUAUGGUUUAUAGUUUGAUAGAAAUACUGUAUAAAAAUUUCGUUAAGAAAUUUUAUUGUUUACAUGCCUAAUUUGAUAAAAAGGACUAAAUUGCAUAAAGUGUAAAGGUUGUGUUCUAAUAGCUAAAGGUAUUAAAUACCUAUAGAAUUUUAAAUUGGAGGUCCUUAUAUAGUAAAUAGGCCAUUAAAAUGCUUAGUGGAUAAGUAUGAAUAGUCAUCAUUGGAAAUUGAAUGAAAUAUUAAGGUUAAUUUUGGAAAUUAGUGAUUAAAGUUAUAAUAAAUAAAAUAAUCUAUUCUCAUCAUCAUCCAAAAAAUAAUAAUAAUAAUAAACCUAGCCAUGGAAGCUUGAAAAUUUAGGCAAGCUUAUUUUUCUCAAUUAGGUAUGAAUCUUUGUCCCGUUUUUAAUGAUUUCUAUGUUUCUAAUAUCGUAGUAGCUUAAUCUAGCUAGUUCGGGGAUUAAUUUGCAAAAAUGUUAAAGUAAUAGGGUUUUUCCAUUGAUGGAUAUGCUUGAAUUUUGAAUUUUGAAUUUUUAUGAUAGAAAAUGAAUGGUUGUUAUUAGAUAACAACUUUUGUAAAGAGAAUUUUGAUGAAAUUAUCAAUUAGGGAUUAAAUUGAAAAAGAUGAUAAAUUUAUGGUAUAAUUUGUGAAUUUUGUGAAAUAUAUGAGCUGCUAUUACUAUGUAUAAAAUCGGCUAGGCUUGAGUAAUGAUUAAAUUAUAUGAAUUUUAUUUUUCGAGCAAUAGACUAAAUUGCAAAGGAUUUAAAAAGUGUAGGGCAAAAUGGUAAUUUUGCCAAAAUUUUAUGUUGGAUUAAAUUGAAUGAGAAUUAUAUUGAAAUGAGUUAAAUUUAUUCGUAUAGAUCUUAUCAGACUUUUAGAUUGAGGCAAAGAGAAAAUAUCUGAUUAGUCGCCUUUGUAUCUACGUACACUUGUCGAGGUAAGUUCGUGUAAUUAAAUUCUACAUUUAUAUGUGUUAAAAUUGAAUUAUUGUUUGUGAAUUAUACAAUUGCCAUGAAUAAAUACCGGUUGUAUAUUCGACAAUUAUCGAGCCCUAUUUGAACCUUAGGAAUCCGUAGGCUACAAAUGACAUGUCAUUAGGGUUAUUGAUUUCAACUCUUAUGAGCUUCCUGAUACUCAGCUCGCAUGAGCUUCCCAUUAUUCAGCUCACAUGAGCUUCCCAUUAUUCAGCUCGGUGGAGCUUAUCGUUUAUAGCUCGUAUGAGCAUACAUGUACAUGAAUUGAUGGAUUAUAGUUAAGUACAUUUUGUGUGUACUACCCUUGUAUCCAAUGAUAUUCUAAAUGGUUCAACGAGCACAGUUCUGUUACGAGAUUAUAUGAGUUUGAUAUGAACUAUUACUGGUAUUUACAUGAAAUACAUGAAAUAUGAUUAUUUGAUGAAUUCAACCAUGUGUGUUGGAUUUUAUAUGUGAUUUUCAUGGCUAAUAUGUUGGUGAUCCUGUGUUUAGGAUUUUGGCCAAAUUGGUUAAGAUAUGCUUUGUUUACUUACCUAUUUUAUGAAUAUAUGGUAAGUUAAAUUCUGUGUUAUACGAACUUACUAAGCUUAAAUGCUUACUCUAUGUUAUUUUUCAUUUUUUAUAGUAAUUCAGAAGCUCGUACGGGUUGAAAACUGGUCAGAGCUAUUUUAGACUAUCCAUCGGCCCUUUUGGUACUUUCAGUAAAUUAAUUUCAGUUAUAAUGGCAUGUAUAGGUUAAUUUGGCCAAUGUUGGCAUAUAAUUGUUUUGUUGAGAUUAGCCACUUAUAUGGCUUGUGUUUGGUACAUUUUGAUGCAUAUAUAUAUAUAUGUGGUCUUACCCUAUUUGAUGUGUGUUUAAUAUGAUAGAUGAUGAAAAGUAAAAUGUGGUUUGAAUAUGCAUAUAUGUAUUUGGUCAUUUAUGUAACACCUCUAACCUGAAUCCAUCGUCGGAAUAGGGUUACGGAGUAUUACCGGAGUUUACAUAUCAAAUAAACAGACAUUUGAUAUCAUAUAACAUUCAUGUCAGAAACCCAUCAAAAUUAAACAUAUUGUCCCUUAUACGAGUCAUUGAGGCCCAAAAUACGAGUUAGAAACAAGUCAGGACUAAAUCGGGUACUCAAAGAAUUUCUUUGAAAAAAUUAAAAAUUUUCAAAAAUGUAGAGGCACACGGCCGUGUGACUCACACGACGAAGAGAUAUGCCUGUUCUCAGGCCGUGUGGGCAUUUGAAAUAAGGACACAUGGUCGUAUCUCUGCCCGUGUCCGUGCCUGUAUAACUCUUUAACUUGGGUCACAUGGCCAAGUCACACACCCAUGUGCUAGGCCGUGUUGAGUAUAUUGACUUGUGCAAUUUUAAAGAUACAGGGGACACACGGCCGUGCCACCUAGCCGUAUGUCACAUAAGUUGAGACACACGCCCGUGUUUCUUCCCGUAUGGACAAAAAAAAGUCAUUUCUAAGCCACAUUUCUCACCCAAUUUGGUACCAACCUAAACACAAAAAUUUGCAUAUCAACAAGCCAUAACAAGGCAUUCAAAUCAAGCUAAAAUCAAGUCUUAAAUAUGUAUUAUCACAAUAUACAACUAAUAUGUCAUUAGGCACCUCAAAUGAUAAAUUAAUAACAUGUCAACCAAAUAUUCAUAUUUACCUAGAUAACCAAAUGCAUAUAUGCAUAAUUGUACCAAUUAUACUAUUUCAAAAUCAAUCAUCAACAAACCUAUAAGUUUUCCAUCAUUUAACCAUAUCAAACACACAUUAAAUAUGAUAAGACCACAUAUAUAAAUACAUCAAAAUAUACCAAACACAAGCCAUUCAAAUGGUUAGUCUCAACAAAAUAUUUAUAUACCAACAUUGGCCAAAUUAACUUAUACAUGCCAUUAUAGCUAGAAUUAAUUUACUAAAAGUACCAAAAGAGCCGAUGGAUAGUGUGAAAUAGCUUCGACCAGUUUCCAACCUGUACGAGCUUCCGAAUUACUAUAAAACAUGAAAAAUAACAUAGAGUAAGCAUUUAAACUUAGUAAGUUCGUAUAAUAUAGAAUUUAACUUACCAUAUUUCCAUAAAAUAGGUAAGUAAAUAUAGCAUAUCCUAAUCCAUUUGGCCAAAAAGCCUAAACACAUGAUCACAACAUAUUAGCCAUGAAAAUCGCAUAUAAGAUCUAACACACAUGGUUGAAUUCAUCAAAAAAUCAUAGUUCAGUAUUUCAUGUAAAUACUGGCAAUAGUUCAUAUUAAACUCAUAUAAUUUCAUAACAGAACUGUGCCCAUUGAACCAUUUAAAAUAUCGUUAGAUACACGGGUGGUACACACAAGGUGUACUGAACUGUAAUCCGUGAAUUCAUAUUCAUAUAUGCUCAUACGAACUGUAAACUGGAAGCUCCUCCGAGCUGAAUAACAGGAAGCUCAUGCGAGCUGUAUAAUGGGAAGCUCAUGCAAGCUGUGGUGUGCCCGCAACACAUGCAGGACCCGAACUAAAUCGGUAACCCUAAUGACAUGUCAUUUGUAUCUUAAGAAUUUCAUAAGGUUCACACGGGACUCGAUAAUCGUUGAAUAUACAACCAGCAUUUAUUCAUGGAAAUUGUACAAUUCACAAACAAUAAUUCAAUUUAACACAUAUUAAUGUACACUUUAAUUACACGAACUUACCUUGACGAGUUUAUGUAGAUACGAAGGUGAAUAAUCUGAAAUUUUUCCUUUGCCUCGAUCUAACUCCGUACUAGGUCUAACCGGAUCUAUACGAAUGAAUUUAACUCAAUUCAAUAUAAUUCAUAUUCAAUUUAGUCCAGCAAUACAUUUUUGGAAAAUUUACUAUUUUUCCCCUAUGCUUUUAAUUUAUUACAAUUUAGUCCCUAGGCUUGGAAAAUGACUUUCAUGCAAUUUAAUCUUUAUUCAAGCCUAGUCAAUUUUUAUACAUAUUAAUAGCAUCCCACAUAAUUCACAAUUUCACAAUUUUACCAUAAAUUUAUCAUCUUUUUCAAUUUAAUCCCUAAUUGAUAAUUUCAUCAAAAUUCUCUUUACAAAAGUUGUUUAUAUAACAACAACUUUUCAUUUUUUUUAUCAUAAAGCUUCAAAAUUCAAGUAUGCUCAUCAAUGUAAAAACCCUAAUACUUUAUCGACUUUGCAAAUUAAUCCCCGAGCUAGCGAGAUUAAGCUACUAUGAUCUCGGAAACAUAGAAAUCAUAAAAAACGAGACAAGAAUACAUACCUAAUUAAGCAAAAAAAGCUUGCUAAUGUCUCAAGCUUCCAUGGUUAGGUUUUCUCUUUUUUUUUUGUGGUAGAUGAUGAUAAUAGAUUUUUUUAUUUUAUUUAAUAUCACUUUAAUUGAUAAUUUCCAAAAUUAACCUUAAUGUUUCAUGAAAUUUCCAAUGAUGACUAUUCAUGCUUAACCACUAAGCAUUUUAAUGGUCUAUUUACUAUAUAAAGACCUCCAAUUUAAAAUUCAAUAGCUAUUUAAUACCUUUAGCUAUUAGAACUCAACUUUUGCACUUAAUGCAAUUUAGUCCUUUUCAUCAAAUUAGGUAUGUGAAAGGUAAAAUUUCUUAACGAAAUUUUUAUACUGUAUUUCUAUCAUAUAGUAGAACAUAAAAUAAUAAUAAAAAUAAAUUUUUUCGACUUUGGAUUUGUGGUCCCCAAACUAGUGUUCUGAUUUUACUGAAAAUGGGUUGUUACAAUUUAAGUAAGUUUGGAUACUUGGUUGACAUGUUUUUAAAUUUUCAUUUGAGGUGCCUAAAGGCAUAUUGGUUGUAUGUGGUGAUAUUUCUUGUUUAAGAGUAGAAUUUGGCUUGUUUUGAAUGCCUUGUUAUGGCUUGUUGAUGUGCAAAAAUGUUGAGUUAGCUUAUGAGAAAUGUGGCUUGGAAAAUGACCUAUUUUCAUCCACACGGGUAGAGACAUGGGGGUGUGUCUUAGCCAUGUGUGACACAUGGCCAAGUGACACUGCUGUGUGUCCCUUGUAUCUUUUAAAUUGCACAAGCCAGUAUGCUCACACGGCUUAGCACAUGGGGGUGUGGCUUGGCUGUGUGACCCAAGUCAGGACGUUACACGAGUUGGGACACGACUGUUUGUCCCUAUUUUGAAUGUCCACACGGUCUAAGACACGAGUGUGUCUCUUGGCCGUGUGAGUCACACGGCCUGGCCACACGGCUGUGUGACCCCUACAACUUUGAAAAUUUUUAUUUUCUAAAAAAUUCUUUGAGUACCCGAUUUAGUCCCGACUUGGUUUUAAUGCGUAUUUUGGGCCUCGAGGGCUCGCAUAAGGGACAAUAUGUUGAUUUCGAUUGGUUUCUGACAUGAAUGUUAUAUGAUAUGAAAUGUUUGUUUAUUUGAUCUGUAAACUCCGAUAAUGCUCUGUAACCCUGUUCCGGUGAUGGAUGCUGGUUAGGGGUGUUACAGAGCCAAUAUUUGUUAAUACAUUUUUACUUUGCGUGCAAAAAUCAUUAAGGACAUAUAUAAAAGAUAAUGAUAUAAAUAACUAAUUUAUUAAAAAAAUUACAAGUAUUUAUGACGAAAUAACUAAACUAAGGGCAUUAGAUUCCGACAGAAGAUACUAUUCAUGGCAUAAUUAGUAUCCGGAAAAUUCACAUGGAAAGAAAGUAUUAAAGCAAGGAAAGUUAUGUGUUGAUGUGUGCAAAUUACCCGUGUGUACAAUCUCACUAGUGCAUUGGAAAAGUAAUAAAUAAAAAAAAUAAAAAAUCAUCAUGAAUUAAUAAGUUAAUUAUCCACUACUUUUUUCUUAAACUGAUUCAAAUAUGUAACAAAGGCACUAAGUCUUAAAAGACAUGUAAUGGGCUUAGGUUAAGGUACCAUAAUUCAAAGUAGAAGACAAUAUAUAACCUCAACUCAAGUUACUUGAGGAUCAAAUUAAGCACAUAAUAUGAAUUCCCAUAUUCUCCAAUUUUCAAAUUGAACAUUUUCUGCUCAUCCUUUUUUCUCUCAGAAUAAAGCAGGUAAAAAUAAUGACAACAAAUUACAAUGAACAUCACUAACACUUUUCUUUUGAAUCUAAAUUUUUCACUUUUUUUUUUCCUUUUCAAAUUUCUUUUAAUUAUUUUUGUUUUCUUUUCCGAAAAUUUUAUAAUAAAGUACACAAGCAACAAAAAGAAAAAUAAGCUUUAUUCUCUCUCCGUUUCAUCCACCAUAAUUUACCUAUCUAACGCCAUAAUUCUUGGGUUCAAACUAGCGAUAAAAAUCCAUCAAGCACUAACCAUCUAAAGCAAACAAGGGAGCUUUAUACUCGAUUCGCGAGAAUAUUCAAACAAAUAAUAAGGUUAAAAAAGAAAAAAAGCCCUACACCUUCCUUGUUGACACAUGUGUUCUCUGUUUUUUAUAUUAUAUAAAAUGGUUAAAUUUUAAAUUUGAUCCUUUUAUUAUGUAUAAGUUUAAAAUUUAACUUAUAUAUUUUAAUUAUUCUAAAUAGUUAAUAUCGUUCACUCUUUAAUUAAGAUAUUAUGUGAUUAUAUAAUUAAGAUGAUCUAAGAGUCCUAAAGCUUAACACAUAACUUCCCAUUUCUUUUGGGGUUGCUUUGUUUUUUUGUUUACAUUAUAAGACAGUGAUUAAAUUUUAUUUUUGACCCCUAUACUAUCCUAUAACUUGAUAUUUAAUCUAUAUACUUUAAUUCAUUAUAUAAACUGGUCUAUUUAUUUUUAUAAUGUCAAUCAAAACGCUAACUUUAAUUUUUCUUAAGAAUACUAUUCCAAAAAAAAAAUUUAUCAUGACGAAAUCGAAUGAAUAUUUUUAAGAAAAAAAUUCACAACAAUAUUUUCAAUGUUAUUUUUAUUGCUACAUGAAUAUCAAGGGAAUAUUUUUUAAUUUAAAAAUUUAAACCGAAGAAUUUUAAUGGUGGUUCCAAAAAAAUAUUUUAUCAUGAUGAAUUUGAGUAAUAAUUUUUAAGCAAAAAAACCCACAAUAAUAUUUUUAUUAUUACUUGAAUAUCAAAUAAAUAAUUUUUUUUCUAAUAAAUUUAAUAGAAAAAUUCUAACGAUAAUAUCCACUCUAAACCUAAACUUUUAAAUCCAAACAGUAAAAAACCUAAAAUCUUAAAAAUAAUACUUAAAACCUAUUCAACCAGUUUAUAAUUUAUCACAAAAAAAAAGAGUAGACAAAGCUCCAUUUUAUACAAUUUGGAAGAACACAAAUAACAAAAAAAGUAGUUAUAAAAAUCUGGAAGAAUAUGCAGAAGAUAAGAUUAAAAACCUUGGAGUUUAUCCAUUUAUAAAUGGCACAACACUGACAGCCAUAAAAAGGUGAAUUAUAUGAAGAAAAGUGGAAAGGGAGUUUGGCACCGCAAUGAUAAGCACAGUUUGUUUGGGGAUGACAAAGAUAAGGUCUCUUUUUCUUUUCAAUUAUUUAUCACUCAAUAUUUAAACUCAUUAGAAUAUUGAAUUUGUAUUCCCAUUAUUCCCAUCCAACCCUUUUUCCUGUUCUCAAUAUAUUAGCAAAUCAUAAUUUUAAUUAAAUUUUGUUAUUAGCUUUAUGUUAUAUCGAAGUUUAAUCAUUGCUAACUUUUAUACUUUUUAAAAUUUUAAAAUUUCAAUUUAAGCUUAAAAUAGUAGUUAUUAAAUUCAUUAACUAUACAUAUGAUAAUAUGUUUGUCGUAUUAAAUUUUGAAGUUAACAAAUUUAAUAAUUAUUAUUUGAAUAAAAAUUAAAAUUUUAAAAUUCAAAAAUAUAAAAAUAAAUCUGUAAAAUUUGACCUUAUUUUUAUUAUCUAUAUAUAGUGGUUUGGCAUCCAUUCUUUUCAGAAACCCCCCCACAAAUACGAGCCAUGCAGAGAUAAGAAGCAGAGCAUGGUAACUUACAAAAGUUGAACACAUGACGGUCUCCAUAAUCAAAAUUUCAUGAUUCUUCUGCCCAUACCAUACCGACCAAUCAAAUUCUCUCUAGUUCUUAAUUUAAUUUAAUUCAGGGAAUUUGGAAUAAAAUUUAGAGAAAAAAAACCCAGAAAAGAAGAAAAAAGAGAUUUGUAUAAGAUGCUCUUUUGGUUGGCAAAAGGCAAGCUCAUAGCUGUAUUUGUGCUUAUUUUAACUUAUAUUUGAAUUAUUUAUGAGUUUUGGGAAUCUCCAAAAUUGAUCGAAUAUUCACUUCAUCGGCACACAUUAAACCAACUCCAUUUUCAUUUGGGAGAAGAACUAAAACACCAAUUAUAGAUUGAUUAGGUUUCAUUUCAUAUUUCCUUAUUAGUCAUAGGGUUGAUAUCAAAAUUAUUGGAUUGCAUUCCAAAAAUGUGAUUAUUAGGAAUAUAAUAUUACUAUUUUUGGUAUCAUUAGAAAAGUACUAAUUAAAAUUAUGAGAAAGUCAUUUUUAUAUAUUUGGUUUAUUAAGGACUUUACUAGUAACAUCAUGGUAAAUUUUGAAAUUAUAUCUAUCAUAUAAAAUACAAAUCUUAAAAUAAAAAUAAAUUAAUAUAUUUAUCUCAAAAUUAAUAUAUGAUAAUUUUUUUAAUUUAAUAUAUAUUUAAUUAUUAUAUAAUUUAAAAUUUAACUUGAUAAUAUUUGAAAUAGAUUUAGAGUUACAUAAUUUUUAUGAUUUUGUAAAGAAAAAAAUGUAUACAAAUAAAGAAAAUAAAGAAAAAAAAAGAACAACUUUGUCUGUAUGUAACAUUUUAACUAUAUGGAAAAUUACCUUGCCAUUAUUACUUAAAAGGAAUCACAUUUCCAUGGUUGGUCACUAGUACAUCAAACUUGGUGAACUCUAUUGGUAAGUGAUGUGGGUAUGGGUACAAAUUUAGGACCAAACAUGAAGGUUCCAUUACUUGGAGAUGUGUUUCACGUACCUAUAGGGCCAAUUACAAGGGUAAGGGCUAGAAAACUUAAGGAGACGCUCAAUGCUCUUAUAUAAGUCGAUUGGGCUGAGUUAGAACAAUCUUCAUUGCAUUUUCGAGUUAACAUGGAACAUUAGCCUUGCAACGUUUUAUUCGUUGCUCAAUAAGUACUUUUGUUGACCAUACAUAUUUCAUCUCCAAAUCAAAAUUCAAGGAUUCAAGCAUUCAUGGAUGAAUUUAAUAGAGGAAGAAUUAAAAAUUCAAGCAUUCAUUGGUCAGGUUUAAUGGACGGAAUUCUAAAAGGCUCAUUCAAGCAUCCUAGGUGACUAUUCGAUUAACCAAAGUCCUUGAUAAUUACCACAAUUCAAGAUGGAAGCUGAACAUGACUUUUGGAAAACAAGUGACUUUUCAGCAACCUCGUGACCUUUGGAGAGAUUAUAUUUUAAUGCAUUUAUGCAUAUCAAGUAAUCAUUUAGUAACUCCCAUGCACAAUUAUUUCCACCAUCCAGAAAAAGGGGGCUGAAUAUGAAUUUUGAAGUUAUUCUUUGUUUAUGAAGUUUACAUGCAAGGUUGGGAGUUAUGUGACUUUUUGUGUACUACAUACAUUCAUGCAUAAUUAAGGCUUUAAACUUCAUGGAUGGGUUGACUAUUCAUAUACCUAGAAUAGUCUAUAAAUAGUUGCUCAUUUUGUAAUUUGAAUAUUGAUGAAUCAAAAUACAUUUUGUGAGAUUUUCUCUUGAGUUCUUAAGAACAUGCAAACUGAACUUAUCAAGGCUUUUGCCUUGUGGCAUUCUUCUUUCAUUUCUUAUACCUUCGGUUCUUGCUUCUUUAUAAAUAAUGGGUCGGGCUUUGUUCAAAACUAAUUCUUUUUUUCAACGGGCUACGUUCCAAUAACGUUGGUUCUUUUCUCGUACAAGUUAUUGUUUCAAGAUCCCUAUCUUAUUUCUUUAGUUAUCAAGUACCUGUAUAGAAACGGUUGGGCAUUCAAAAGACUUGUAAUUCUAAAUUGAUUACGAGCUCACAUUAGUAAACCUAUCUUCUCUAUUAAUGUAGUACAAAUAUAUGAAUAAGUUGAACGAUGGCCAACCAAUGCAUAAACAAAUUAGUCAAAUAAGGAAAGUAUACCCUAAUGACAUAAGCACAAUCUAGAGCUCAAGACUCAGGUUUAGAUGUAGCCUCCUUAUUAAUCCUUUGACUACCACUUAUCUUACCACUAACUCCAAACUUCUUACCCCUCUAAGUUGUAGAACUAGGUUUUGCAAACUGAACAGUAGUGCCCUCGAUCCUCUUUGGACAAUCUUUAUACUAGUUGUCUUGGGACCCACAUUGGAAGCAUGCCCCAAAAACCUUCAAACAAACUCCGAUGUGAUUCUUGUCAUAGAGCUCACAUGAUGGAAUUGAUGCUUUUCUCGAUCCACCAGUAUUAGCUAUCAAAAUAGUUUAUUGGUUUUGUCUACCUUGUUUCUUGCCUCUAUCCCAUAAGAUCAUGUAGGAGAAAAGAAGUGGUCUCGUGAUUCUCUAUCUCUCUUGGUUGAUAAUGGUGAAAAUAAACAAAGGUGAAGCCAGGGGUUGGCAGUAGCCUUGGCUUCCUUAAAAAUGAAAAAAAAAUCAAUUUAGUUCCUUUAAAAUUAUUAAAAUUACAAGUUCGUCUAUUAUAAAAUUAUACUUUGACCCCAAAAAAUAUGAAAAAAAAAUUAUGUUUAGUCCCUUUAAAAGUAAUGGAAUUAUAUAUUAAUAUAUGAUAAAAUUACAUUUUGAUCUUUCAAGUAUUUUAUAAUUCAAUUCGGCCCUUAAAAAAAAUUUUAGCUUCACCUCCUGCAAUGAACUCAUAGUUAUUCUCUUUCCAUGGUUUUUUUUAUUCACCUUUUUCUUCUUAGCAACCAUUUUCUCCAUUUUCUAAGCUCUUCCCGAUAAUAACAAAAACUCACUUAUCUUAAGAGCCCCUACAAGUAGCUUGAUGUCUUCAUUAAGGCAUCACUUGACCCUUGUACACAUUUCUACCUCAGUUGCUACAAGCUUAUUUUCAUAAUUACAUAAUUAACUAGAUUAUACAAGGUAGCUCAUUAAGGCCCACUCAAACCUUAUACUCAUUUCCUUGAUGUCUCCAUUUUUUAACCUUGUACACAUUAAGGCCCCACUCAAACCUUGUACACAUGUCUUUAGACAAAUGAACUCACUUUUUCAUACUCAACCACUAUCAUAAUGUCUUGCUUCAAAUAAAGAGACUCUCUCUUCUUCUCUUCCAAGUAUAAUAGAUUAAUGUACUUCUUCCAGUAUUCAAUUAGAAAGAAGUUCUAGUUUACCCUCUUUAUUAGAGUUACACUUAUCACUGUAACUUACCAUUGAUUUGCCUUAUUAUUCAAAAAACAGAUGGCACACCACAACUUUUCUUCGGAUGUGCAUUAGAGUUCCUCAAAAACUUUUUAGACAUGUUUUAGUCAAUAUUCUACCACAAACAAAUCAUUAAUUUUCUUGCCCCUGAGCUCUUCAACCCCAUACUUUCCAAGCUUCUCUAAAGAAAAAAACAUGUGAAAAUCAUCCAAGUACAUGAAUAAACACACAUUCAAGCUCAUAAUUUAUAAUGGUAAAUCAAUGAACCAAUUAGUUAUAGUGCAUGCAUGCAUCUCAAAGAUUUAACCAUUCAACCAUGGCAGUAAGGACAACUAAAAAAUAAUCUUUAAAUUAUGUCCUCCAACAAAACAUUAAUAACAUCCAACUUCAAGGUCCCCAAGUAAUAUGCAACUAAUAAUAUAUAUACAAUAUGAAUUAAACCUUAAGUACAUGCCAUUAAAAAGCCACUUCUACAUGUAUGUAAGUUUUACACUCUUCAAUACCUUAGGAUAGUGAUAUGAUCCAAAGAGUUGAGUUGGCUUUACGAUCUCUACUCAAAAUCUAUACAUAAUAAUAUAGUGGUGCGUUAUGUAUAAAUGAUUUAGUAAAAACUUAUGGAAAUGAACCUUCUUACCAUGUGUGAGACUUGAGUAAUGGAAGUAAAUUAAUUAAUACAAUAUUAAUAAGUGUAAUAAGUGAUACAAUUAGUCAAGCAUACUUAUUCAUAUGCGCGCGCGCACACACACACAUCAGAGUUCUAAUCAUACUGAAAUAUCCUUGGAAUAAUUAGAGUUCAAUUGGGAGAAGCAGUCCUACUUGAAAUAUAAAACGCAGCUUCCAAAUAGGAGAACACGCUGUGACAUGGCAUAUCACCUCGUCAAGAUGUCCUCUAUGCUUUGUCGUUUCAACAUUGUCGCAUUGUCUCGAUGCCCUGAUACUCCUCGUCGUGACGUUAGACCUAUUUUAGGCUUUCUUCGGUUACUCGUCAAAACAUCUUUCAAAGUACCUUCAAAACAUUUGAUAAAUGCAAUGUACAUCCCACAAAUCUCUAUAUUGACUUGUAUUUAUCACGCCUCCUUUUCCAUGCCCAGUCACGGGCCUAACUUAAAUUUUGUAAGAUACCAAACAAGCUCAACCAGUCUCGAACUUGUAAAUUGAAAGACUCAUAGUCUUUAAAUCAAAGUUGUAUGAUACAAUAAGGGCCAAUAAUACCUGAAUAAAAGAAAAAAAACAUCAACUCUCUUCACUUGACUAUAACCCUUUUCGAGCAACCUUGCCUCAAACAUUCAGUGAACCAUUCAAGUUUUAAAGACCAAAAAGAGAUUAGAUUCUUCUCUAAAGUAGGAACAUGUCUGACAUCUGAUACAACUCCACCUUCAACCAGAUUAUGUGGAGGGUAACGAAUCAUCACCCUUGUCCUUAGUCAUAUUAGCUGUCUCCGUAAUUAUAUGGAACUGCCAUAAACUAAAAUUUGUGAUCCGUUGAACUUCUCGAUAUCCAAGAUCAUUAUUGCAUCAGCGAACGAGUUAAUCUGUAGAAGUUGAACCUUGGUUCUGAUACCAAUUUGUUGGGGAUCGACCCAUAUAAACAACGAGCUAGUAAAUGUAAAAAAGAUCGAACACAAAUAUUUUACAUGGAAAACCCUCCGAAGAGGAUAAAAAACCCAUGAGUAAAGGAGGCUUCAGCUUUUCACUAAAUUAGUAAAAAACAAGAGUACAAUAUGAAGAAAAUAAACCUAAAAGUAUUAAACGUACAAUCCCAAACCUCAAAAACAAAGUCCUAACUCGAGAACAAAUUUCUCUCCAUAGUUACCAUGAAACUCUCACAAAAACUCAUAUGUGACUACAUCUUGUUGCCCUCGAGAAAAACCCUUGUUGAUUGGUAUCUCAAAACAUGGAUACAAUAGCCCUCUUAAAUAGGCUAAGAUUAGAGUUCUAAUCAUACUAAAAUAUCCAUGGAAUAAUUAGAGUCUAACUAAGAGAAGCAAUCUUGCUUGAAGUCUAAAACGCGUCUGCCAAAUAAGAGAAAACAUCGUGAUGUGGCAUAUCGCCUCGUCGCGACACCAUCUUUGCUUUGUCGUUUCAACGUUGUCACGUCGUUCCGACAUCCCAGUGCUCCUCGUCGUGACGUCGAGCCUAUUUUGCACCUUCUUUGAUUGCUCAUCAAAACGUCUUUCUAAGUGCCUGAAAAAAAUUUGAUAAAUGCGAGGCACACCCCACAGUUUCUUAUAGGCUUUCACUACAAGUAAGAGGAAAAUCCACUUUUUUAACUAGGAUACUAUGUUUAAGCUGAAGGAGAUAUGGGAUUUAGAUCUAUGUGUGACUAGAAUUUAACUCUUUGCGCAAAACUUGGAUGGAGAUUAUUGACUAAAAAAGAUAAAUUAUAGGCCAAGUAUUAUAUGGUAAAUACCUUAACAAUACCAACUUACUCGAUGCUCCAAGAAAUGGUGGUAGUGAACACGGUUAGAGAAGUAUCCUUGCAGGAAAAUAUAUCGUUGAUAAAGGGUUAUGUUGGAGGGUGGGUGAUGUAAGUCUAAUUAGAUUACAAACUAACAAGUGGGUGCCUGAUAGAAAUAUAGUUCAUAAAUGCAUCCAAAAUCCUUCACAGAAGUAGUUGCAAUUGUUCAUUAAGGAGUAUAGGGAGCAGGAGGUUGAAACUAUAAGGCUUUAUCACAUUUUUUCUAGAGGAAAUAUUUAGAAAAAAGAACAUGGUAUUUCCUUUCUUGAUGAAUUACCGAGCUAAUGAUGAAUUUAUUUGGGGGAAAACUUUUAAUGGCAUCUUUUUAAUUAAGUCAGCUUAUGAGAUUCAAGUGAAUAGAAAAAGAUUCGCUUAGCUUAAUGGCAAAACUAAUAUAGAAAGUUCUUUAACAUUCGAAGAUCCAAUCAUCUCUUUGGUUAACUUGGAAAAGUAGAAUUAUGAGGAAUUCAAAUAGAAAGAUAAGGUAACUUAUCAUGAUUGAUUCGAGCGAAAAUAUUCGGUGAUCUAUUUUUUCCUUAAAUUAUGGAACAUUAAUUAUAUUAUGCUUAAUUUGAGUAGCAUUGAUGGCAUAGAUUGAAGUCCAUAAUUUUUAUAUACUUAUGUUGAAGUUUCAUCAAUCAUAAUGCACAAUUGUUAUGUGUGGAUCUCUAAUUUCAUUAUAGAUUUUUAUUAUGUGUCAAUUUUAGUUUAAAGUAUUUCGAUUCUUAAUAUGUUUAUAUUGAUUUAAUAAUGCUUUAUAGCUGUUUAAAUAUAAAUUAUUAUUAAUAUAUUUAUAAACUCUAAAAUUAGUUUAUAAAAAAACAAAGCUGAAUUUGGGAAAUAAAAAUACAAGAUAAAUUUCAUUUUGAGGAUGGUACAACUUUUGCUUUAUUACAUUAUUUUUGUUAGAUUAGUUGUCUUUAUUUUGGGCAUAAUUUAUUUGCUUUUUUUUUUUUUUUAAAUUAUAAACCCAAUAAUUGUCGGAUCAAUCAUAGAAAUUCACCAUGGAUUUCAAUUCAAUUCACUGCAAGUAAACAAUCCAAUUAUUAAUUAAUAAAAAGAAGCCUAAUCACUUUAACAUAAUCCACUCCAAUCAUAGGAAUUAACUUCUUGUUGAGCCAUUGGUUGAUUAAUAAUAAUAAUAAACCGAGUAGACCAAAAUGACAUGACAAUAUACAAUAAUUUUUUGGAUGAUGAGUAAAACUAUCGGAAAAGCUUCUUUUCUUUUCUUUUCUUUUUUCUUUUUUUUUUAUAUAUCUAUAUUUCGAAACAUUGAAACGUUAAAUUAAUGGUGAAAAUUAUUUUUUAUGGAUAAAUUAUAAAAAUAUUACUCCAUUAUACAUUUUGUUUUAUUUUGGUCACGUACUUUGAGCUGAUGUCGGCUUUUUUCUUAUUAGUCUAGUAACAAAUUUAACCCUCUAAUGUUUACAUAUUCCAUUAAAUUGGUCCUAAAUAUAAAAAUUUCAAUAAAUUUAGCCCUCAAUGUUUAUAAAUUUUUCCAUUUUAGUCGUAAUUCUAAAAAAUUUCAAUAAAUUUGGCCUUAGUAUUUACAAUUUUUUUCAAUUUAGUCCUGUCUUACAAUUUUUUUCAAUUUAGUCCUAUCUCUAAAAAUUUUAAAAAUAUUUAAUUUUUUUUUCUUUUUUAGCUCUGCAUAAUCGAACUCACCCAUGAAAGAUAUUAAAAUAAGAAAAUAAAAUCCCCUCUUUCAAGCCAUUUGCAACAAUUUCUUAUACUAUAAUUUACGCUUCAUAUCAGACCAAAUCAAUUGAUUUGGAACCUAUCUAGAAUAAUCGGUUGCAUUACUACUCGAACAUAUAACGUUUUUAAUGCCAUUGAUUUUUUGUCAGAUCUUAAAUUUUUGUGUUUUGUCCCAACUUUUUAGAGUUAUUUUGCAAGUGACUUGAAAGAGGGUACAUUUUUUCUUAUUUUAAUAUCUCACAUGGGUUAGUCAAUAGAUUAUAAAGGGCUAAAAAUGAUUUUUUUUAAAAAGUCUUUUUUAAUUUUUAGAGUUAGGACUAAAUUGACAGAUUUUGUAAAUGUUAAUGGCCAAAAAUGUUGAAUUUUUAAAAAAAUUAGAACUAAAAUGAUAAAUUUUAUAAAUAUUGAGGGUUAAAUUUGUUGAAUUUUGUAUAUUCAAGAUCAAAUUGAUAGAAUGUGUAAAUAUUAGAAUGCUAAAUUUGUUAUUAGACUAAUAAAAAAGAAAGCUCACAUCAGCCCAAUGUAACUAAAAUAUUUAAUUUCAAAAAGUUUAAUGACUAAAUAAAAUAAUUAAUAGUUAGGUGACCAAAAUAGAAUAAAAUGUAUAAUUGGGUGACUACUUUAACAAUUCACCCAUAGAAAAUUAAUUUCCCGUAUAGAUUUAACAUUCCAGAUCCAUUACAAAAUACUCAAUUUUUUGGUAGAAGGGUGGAAAUGGAAUCCAGUCGUAAAUACAAGAAGUACGAGUCAUCAUCCAUGGCGUAUCAAUAAUGAAAAAAACAAAAUGAGAAAUAGUUAAAAACUUAAGAAAAAUGUAGAAAUUGGUGGUAUAGGGAUGGGAUGGCAGUGAAUCAUGUGUUCCUAAUCUGUGUAAAAUUUGAGUUUAUUUAUUAUUACUCAUAUUACAUUAAAUUAAAAAGUAUAUAUAAGAGGCGAUCGAAACUUGUCAUCCAUAAAAAUAAAAAAGAUUCAUAAUAAUUAAAAAUAUUUGAAUAUCACAAAUGUCCGAAUUCACCUUAUCUAUCCUCAUUCUUAGUUGUGUAAGAAGAAAUAUGAUCUUGAAUGAAAAAAUGUUACUUUUUUGACCAUCGGAGCCAACGCAAUUUCCGAGAGUCAUUUCCAAAAACAGGAGGGGUGAUGAUGAGUCAGCAAUGGAAGUGGAUAAAGCCCCGUUAGUGAUGGGACGAAACCAAGUAAGAACACGUGGCGUGAUGGGAGAGGUGGGCCCGAGGAAGCGACGAAACAUCGCCGUUUGAAAGGUGCCCCAGACAUUUUGCAACUAUAAAUAGGUUGUGAUGGAUAUUUGAAAGCACAACAACGUGUUUGCCUUCCCCCUUUUACACUCCCCCUCUCUUUCCUCUCUUCUCUUUCCUUCCCCCUUCAGAUAUCUUCCUUUUCAUCUUCUUCCUCUUUCUUUUUCUUCAAAUACUGCCCUCUAUUUUUCUCUACUUCUUGUUAAAAAGAAAUGUGUUUUGGGAGUGUUUAAUUAUUGAAACAAAAUGUGUGGGAUUUUAGCUGUUUUGGGUUGUUCUGAUGAUUCUCAGGCAAAAAGGGUUCGAGUGCUGGAACUUUCCCGCAGGCAAUUCAUCUUUCUUUUUUCUUUUUUGCUAAUUUUGAUGCUUGUGUCUUUAAAAUGGUUGCAUAACAUUUCCCCAAUAGGUUUAGACAAUGGCAAAAUUGUUUUUAUGGUUUGUUGCUGUCAAAGAUCAGCGAAAUAAAAAAAAAGACAGGGUUAUGGUGAAAUUUAACAACCUUAAAACUUGGUCUUGAAUUCUUCAUCAUCUUUAAGCUAUGUCGGGUGUUUUGAAGCAGAGAUACUCUGCAACUUGGAAACGAUAUAAAGGGACAUAAGCAAAAAAAAGUGGCAGUGUCCAUGUUUCAAUAUGCUAGUUCAAGCAGCUCAUGAACAUAAAAGACUAAUAAAUUGAAUUGAAUUUAUUGGUUAAUGAGUAGUGAUUGUCCACGUUGAUGAUGGUUUACCAACAGGCUGAAGCACCGUGGUCCUGACUGGAGUGGCCUCUACCAACAUGGAGACUGUUAUUUGGCCCAUCAACGCCUUGCCAUCAUUGAUCCUGCUUCUGGUGACCAACCUCUCUUUAAUGAAGACAAGUCUGUUGUUGUCACUGUAAGCCUCUUUCUCUUUGCUUCUUUUUAUUUAAUGUUUCUCCGGUUCCACCCUAUAUGGCCACUCAUUUAACUUUUUCAACACUUGAGGACUGCCUAAUUGAUCAAAUCUGUGCUGAAAACUAGGUGAAUGGAGAGAUUUACAACCAUGAAGAACUGAGGAAGAAGUUGGCCAACCACAAGUUCAGGACUGGCAGUGACUGUGAUGUUAUUGCCCAUCUGGUCAGUCACCAUGGAUAGAGCUAAAUUUUUUGGUCUCAAGUUUCUAUUUUGUUUUGUGAAUGAUUGCCUAAUAAGUACUUGACCUAUAUAAUAGUAUGAGCAGUAUGGUGAAGACUUUGUGGAUAUGUUGGAUGGAAUCUUCUCAUUUGUGCUGCUGGAUACCCGUGACAACAGCUUCAUCGUUGCACGCGAUGCUAUCGGUGUCACCUCCCUCUAUAUUGGUUGGGGACUUGAUGGUAGUAAAUCUAGGUUUUUUUUUUCUCCGUUGCAAGUAAUUUGGGUUGAAACUGGUUUUUGCUAAUUUAAUUCUACUUCUUAUAACCAGGUUCGGUUUGGAUAUCAUCGGAAUUGAAAGGGUUGAAUGAUGACUGUGAACACUUUGAAAGCUUUCCCCCUGGCCACUUGUACUCUAGCAAAUCAGGAGGAUUUAGAAGGUGGUACAAUCCACCUUGGUUCUCUGAGGCCAUUCCAUCGGUUCCAUAUGAUCCCCUAAUACUUAGACGUGCCUUUGAAAAUGUAAAACUGAUUACUUGCCGCCCAAGAAGCACUUUAUGCUUUUGGACUAAAGAAAUAAAUAUAUUUUUUUAUGUAGUUUUGGCUUACGGGUUGUAUCCAAUAUGUUCACAGGCGGUGACCAAAAGACUGAUGACUGAUGUGCCUUUCGGAGUUUUGCUAUCUGGAGGACUUGAUUCAUCAUUGGUUGCUUCUAUCACUGCUCGGUAUUUGGCUGGUACCAAGGCUGCCAAACAUUGGGGAGCUCAGCUCCAUUCUUUCUGCGUUGGCCUAGAGGUAAGUUGUAAAGUAUACGAUGAACCAUUAAAGCUCUAGAGGAUUUAAAUGAUUCUUAAAACUUGAUUGUCAAUUUCUCUGCAGGGUUCACCAGAUUUGAAGGCAGCCAGGGAGGUUGCAGACUAUCUGGGAACUGUCCAUCAUGAAUUUCAUUUUACUGUUCAAGUAUUGAGUCGACAUUUUUGUAGCAUUUUCUAUUCAAGAAUUUAGGGUCUAAUAAACUUGUAACAAGCUAGACUGCUCUCUAAUGUGGCAGGAUGGAAUCGAUGCCAUUGAAGAUGUCAUCUACCACAUCGAAACAUAUGAUGUCACCACGAUCAGGGCAAGCACUCCUAUGUUCCUGAUGUCAAGAAAGAUCAAGUCACUAGGUGUGAAGAUGGUUAUUUCUGGUGAAGGCUCCGAUGAGAUAUUUGGUGGAUACCUGUACUUCCACAAGGCACCAAAUAAGGAUGAAUUCCACCGGGAGACAUGCCGCAAGGUAAUAGAUCAUCUUAUUCAGCACUUCACUUAUGAGUAGGGGAGUUGGAACAUAAUAUAUAACGAAAACUGGUCUGUUUUGAUACCUUUUUAUGC
RNAcentral lists this long non-coding RNA (54449 nucleotides) under Gossypium barbadense (sea-island cotton). Its description in RNAcentral is "long non-coding RNA (GBAR_LNC008333)". The record is from RNAcentral. Lineage: Eukaryota; Viridiplantae; Streptophyta; Magnoliopsida; Malvales; Malvaceae.